UUUUUUUUUUUUUUUUGUUAAGUUUUUUCAUAUGCUGGUUAAGAUACCCACCCAGAUCCAACGAAUCCUUAGCCAACGGCGAGCUUAUUAAAGUUAGAAGAUCAAAAUCAAGAAACAGCAAAAGACCAAAACGAAGGAAAAGCGGAAGGUAGACGAUCAUAUUCAAAUAUUAACUAAAUCAAAUGGCGGUGAAGUUGUAAGAAAGGUAUCCAUCCGCUAAUUCGAGACGGAUCCCAGCCCCAUUCUGCGGGCCAUUAUUAGAGGAUCCGGCUCGGCUCAUUAUUAUCAUUAUUAUAUAUAAUAUAAUAAGGUUGUCUGCGUUGCCGUCUCAUUUUGUUCGUGCGACGGUAAAAUCAGUUUUCAUCUUUCUUCACGUUUGCGAGGAUCUGCUGGGGCUAAUCUUUUCCCUCCACCGUUCGAUUAGUACCAAUCUUCCAUGUAUAUUAUAAUCCAUUUGUCAUAGGGAGGGAGGGCGUGCUCAUCACUAAAUUGUUUGGAUAUGUUUGGCUUCGGACAGCCUAAUUGGCGUCUAAUCACAAAAUCGUGUGCAUUGUACAUCAGUCAUAACUUAUCUUCUUAUGCAUGCAGUUGGAGCCAACUUAAAAAAGGAAGGCACUCUACAACAAAAGCAUAAUCAUAGUGCUUUAAGACUAUAUCAUCUAAUGUGACUUGCAGCAGCCCAAAGAGAGAAGAGAGGAGAGGAGAGGAGAGGAGGGGGUCACUUUCCAGACAAAAAUAAAAAUAAAAGCCAUUUUCUCGUUUCAUUUUAUGAUUUAUCCCCUUUGUUUAGGGAAGAAUCAGUCACUUUCCAAUCAACCAUUAUUAUACUGUCUCUUCACUAAAAUAACGUUCAUAUAAUUGGAAGAGGCCGGGGGGUGGGUUAUAUAAAGUCGCAUGCCAAAUCCGACAAGAAAACUCCUGUGUGUAUCCUAAGAAACCCCUUUGUGGUUUCCGCAGGCCACGUAAGUGGCAUCUCAAGGCAAACCAAAGGAGAAGAAAGAGGCCAUGACUAUUACAGCUUACCAAUUUGCUGUGGCGGUGCAUUAUCAAAUUUUGGUUUUGUUGUUUCUCUCUUCUUCUCUAUUAUCGUUCGUGUACCAUAUGAUGCGCAGAAGAGCCAAAAAAAUUACCAAAUUUUGUCAUUCCUUUAGAUGCAUGUACGUGGCUAAUUUUAGUCGAACCCUUAUCAUUACUCUUUGACACUGAUAAUAUAUAUCAUCCGUGCCUCGAAUCGCAUCGUUGGAAUUUGAACAAUCACGAGUGUUUAAUACAAAAUGUUGCAAUUUUGGAUUGUUUAUUUAUUUAUUACUUUUUGGAAUAGUCUGGAACUACAUACUAAUAAUAGAUUGACAUGCUAAAGUUAAAAUUUAAAUUAGGAAUAACUGACAUGGUAUUCAUACCCGUUAGUUAGUAAGCAAGCCACGUAUAUAUACGAGUUCAGCCUCUUUUUUUUUUUUAGUACAUCAUGUAAAAUUUCAAGGAGAAGAGUAACGGAACGUUGCAACCACUGAGCUUAGCUCAGUAAGGGACUUAAGUCCCUCCUAAACCCUCACCUACAGUAAAAAAAAUUUAAGGGUAGUGCCAUAUCACUUUUUUGAUUUAAUUGGAUCUGUAUACUCACUAGCCCCUAACAUAAGCCUUCUUAGACUCCUCCUCCCCUUAGAUUAGGAUAGAGUAGGUUAUACAAUAUAUCGUUGUUGGCCAAAAAAAAAAAAAAGAGUAACGGAACGUUGCACAUUAUUAACAGUAAAUGUCCAAUUGUGACAUGUCAGCUGUCGUCCUUCCGUUUGCUUGACUUGCAUACAUACAGCAAGGGAAGUCUAAAAUGAAAGGAAUUUUCACGAAAGUUGUUGUUUAUAUCUUUUAGCAAUGAUUACGGACGUGGAAUGAGAAAUUUGUUUAUGAAAAGUGCAAGCUGGUGGCUGGAUUAGGAAUGUAACAUGAAAGGGAAAGAAAGACGGAAGGCCAAGAAAUCCAAUUCAGUUUAAUUCCUCCAACUUUGGUAGUGCCAGCCAGCAAUCAAGAUGAAUAGUUCCAUGCGAUUCCUUCUCCGGGGCAAUGAAGAGCCAGUUGAAUUCAUUUUGGGUUUGUUAUUGUCUAGUGAUGAUUGACUUUGUUAAAGAUGUACGUACUAGUAGUAUCUUUAAACAUCUGGUGACACGUAUUGGGAAAGAGAAGGUUUCCGUUUUGCGGAGACAGUACUGUGCUUUUAAGAUUGUGAAUGAAUGAUUUCCGUCGUCCCUACCAAUCCCAUAAAAUCAAGAGACAAAAUACGAACAUCGAUGAAGAUGAUAAGAACUUUUGAGUUGGAGAAGUACGCGAUCUUCUGCUAUAAAAUUGCAGCAUUCGUUCCCUCGUUCAUUUCCAGGAACAAUAAUACCACUAGCUACAAUGUACUAACUAGUAAAAGAUAGUGCUAAACGCUCGCAACAUCACGAGACUCAGCUCAAAACUUGAUCUCUUAACAUUGUUGUCAGCACAAAACUUGAGUGUUGUCUAUUAACAUUGUUUUCUUGGCUUCUUCCAUCACGAGACUCAGCUCUGUCUGCCUGUGUCUCUAGACACAAACGACAACUAGGAGCAAUGGAAUGAAUUCUAUAAUUGUUUUUUUUCCCCAGUCAUUCUUUAAACAAAAAAAAAAAGAAUCAAACAGUUGAAGUUUAAUUUUCUGUCUGCUGAGCUCAAUGAACAUGCCAGAAAAAGAAAAGAAGAGAACGCAUAUACUGAAACGAACAUCCUGGCCAAAUGUCAUGAUGCGACAAUUGGGGCGGCGGUUAAAUUUUUCCAACGACCAAAUCAUGGAGAGUAUUAUAAGAUUUGCCUUUUUAAUUAGUUUUAGAGACAAUGAGAGCGGCCGAAUUAACGGAAUAUUGCGGGCGUUCGCAGACGUGAGCUGGGCAAAACCAUUUGACUCGUUCAUAUUUAUAGCAUCAGACCGUACGAGUAGUUCCGUUAUUCUUCUGCGCAGCAAAAUGCGGUACCUACAUCUAAAUGGAAUCGUGACUCAAAACCUGAGUCAGAAAAUGAUGAUGAUCACCGUGCUUUACUUUUGAUGUGUCGCAAAAGCACGCAUCAAUUAUGCGAUGCGAAGGUAGAAGGGUUAUUUAUUUUUAAUUCCACGCUAGCUCUAAGUAGGACACGGGGUUCAAUUGGGCGGUGAGAGUGAUUUUUGGACUUAGUUGCUGAAAAGGAAAACGUGCAAUUUUCGCAUUCACAUGUUUUGACUUUCUUCCUUCAUUCUUUUUCUCUUCAUCUACCUUAUAUGGUAAAAGCACGGUUGAUAUGCAAGCACAAUUUCUUUUCCUUUCUGUCGAUUUCUUGAAGUUAAAAGCUAAUGAAGCCAUUUUGGCUAUUGUACUACAAUUGUACUACAAAGUAACGGGUCUUUCUCUGCUGUCUUUGGGUUAAUUUGAUGCAGUUACGAAAAUAGUGGAUUGGCUGUAUCAGAGUAUAAAAAUAAGGCCAAGCCUUAUUGCAGUACUACACUGCUCUUUUUUUUUUGAGUUAGAAAGUCACAGAUUUUGGUGUACAUAAAAAAAAUAUAAGGCAGCAUUACACAGUGAUAUAUUAUUAUUUUCAAACCAAUAACAUUGCCAUUGUUGUCCAAUUAGUCAGCAUAACAAAAAUGACUAUCAUUUAGCAACCAGACUGAAAUUGUGGCUCUCUUCAUUGCUUAAUAAAAUUACAAAAAAAAUAAUCACAAAGAUUUGGGUGCACCUUCAUGUAACUCUUUAUAUUGAAUAUCCCAAUUUGAAUAAUCAAAGAACAUUUCUAGGCAAACUUGAAAAUUACACCGCGCCCUAGUUGAAGAAAACGAGCAGUGAACAACGAACAGGCACCAACCAUAAUCCAAUUAUAUUGAUCCAUUUAAAUUCAUCCCAUUAACUUUGGAUGUGGCUAUAUGCUAUUCAAUUAAAUCCGUUUAAUUAGUAAGUAGUGGGUUGAUUCGACUCACCAAUUUAUAUCCAUUUAUUUAAAUGAGUAUAAAUAAAUGGGUUGGGCAGAUAAAUUCGAAUUUGUUACAAAUUUAAUAACAAAAAAAAAAAAAAAUGGGUUCAGCGUCCAGUCAUGAAACCCUUGAAACACGACACGUCCGAAUCACCCAAUUUAACAUCGACCUCCGUCAUCUAUCGAUCGUGUUAUGCCAUGGUACAACAAAGUGAAUGACCGACCAUUCUUAGAAAGUAGUAGUAAGCAGUACUUGUAUGGUGGUACGACAGAACUAAUGAAACCAUUCCAUCUAUUUUUGGGUUGGCUGGUAUAUGCUUCUGUUCAUCCAGUCUGUCACCACCAACCUCCCGAAAUUGUAAACCUGCAGCCUACAGCACGUGAGCUGAAACUAAAGUUUAGCAGUGCUAGAAAAUGUGUUGCAUAAUGCAUAUCAUCAUAUAUCAUAUAUACAUUCCAUUCCAUUCACGGUGACCCAAUUCUUCAAUCAAUCCUAGGAUAUAUAUAUAUGAUGCUGCUUUUAGUUUAAUUUUCUACUGCAAUCCUCUCUACUCUCUACGUGAGAAUUGCCUCUUCUCCGGUUCAUUUCACUGCAAAUGUGCUCAAGUUGUGGCAGACGGCAAACCACGUGACACGUUUUACACUGCGUCUUUCUUUCGAAGUUUGUUAAUAAUGCUUUGAUUAUGGGAAUUUGAUUGUCUUGUAUCGUUACCUAACUUAACGUGCAGGGGUGAAGAAAUGCAUAAUUGGUCAAGCUACAACAUACAUCUCUGCAACUAGCUAGCUACCAUGACGGCUAAUUCUUUCUUUCUUUUUUUUUUUUUAGUGUUGACCAAUCUGGCUACCUACCAAUCCGCAAAGUGUUAGAAUGAAGAAGCAUCAUUCUAGCUACCAUUCGUAAUACGUACAAACAUGUUAUUAAUUAAUUAUGAUCGAUGCUACUCUACUAAUUACUAGUAGUUGUCUGUGUCUAUCUCUUGGUGAUUAUGUGGUCAAUGCACAUAAAAAAAAAAAAGAUAGCCGGAGAAUUAAUUUCUUGUGGUCUCAUAUUUGUACGUACAACUUGUCCAGCAAUUAGUAAUACGGACCGUUUCUUUUCUGAAAAGAAAUUGAGCUGUAACGAUCAUGCCCAACUAACCGCGCCAAUUAAUUAGUAGUGUCUCUUUGGUGAGGUAAAACAGGAAUACUAGUGUAUAAUACGCGCGCAGGAGCUCCGUGAAGCUUCUCGUUUCGUUCUGAAAUACUACUAAUCGCUUAGAAUUGAAAUACUACAUCAAUUUUAAUGUAAGCUCCACCGGUUUAUUCCCUCCAUUAAACCCAUUUGAAGAUUUCAAGCUCAGGAUCUUAUGCAUGGUCUUCUUGCCUACUAAGAGUUGAAUUUCCCGUCAAAAUUCUGAACUUGAAAGCGAAAAAAGCGUGUCGUCGUAAUUUAAACAAUUGAUGUCGUUAUAAAAAGGAUUUGUCGAACAAGUGCGAUUAGGGUUGCUGGUUAAGUGGGGGCUGAUGAUCAAAUGUUAAUGUUGUUGAAAUAUAGGUUAAUGAAAUUAAAAAAAAAAAGGAAAAGCUUUCAAAAUGUGGAUGCGUUCGCUGUAGAUAAAGUUGUGCGUAUUAAACCAUGUGCGAUUAGGGUUUUGAUUAGAAAAAUCCUCAUUGGUGGGAAAAAAAAAAGAAAAGAAAGAAAGGGAUCUUCGUAGCCGUACGGUUCGUAACAAGAUUAGGGUGAGAGCCGAAAACUGAUCGAAAGGGAACAUCAUCCUCUAAGCUGGCGAUCGAAGGAAAAGGCUCCAUUAUUAGCUUGAUUAUAUAAGUGGUCCACGAAGCCUGGGAAAUAAGCUUCCGAAAAUUCCCAGAAAGAAAGAGAGAAAAAAGUCAUUUUCGGGAACCUCACAUAGUCCUUGAUUGUCCCUCCAAAGCUGAUGCAUCUUUUAGUAAUGCCAGCGCCUUGGAGGGUGACUGGUGAUAGAAACUCGGAGAGUGACUGGUGAUAGAACCUUCCUUGUUAUAACGUAAACAAGCCUCUGCUCGCUCCGCCUUCUUCUUUGGGUUUGAUAUCCUGAAACGGGGAGUCAUUAAUUAAUGGCAUCUCGUGUAGUAGUAUUACAUUUUCACUAGAAGAAAAUGAAACAUGAUAAUUUAGACAGGGCAAAGUCAACUUUUGUUUGUAUUACACUCUUGUUACGUUACGUUAUGUUAUGUGCUCGUACUCGAUUGAAAUUUGUCCCAUACAACAAUGGAUAAGAAUCUAAAUCAUAAAACAUCUCUUUUGAUCAAUUUGUCUCAACCAUUCAAGAAUUAGCGGCCGGGUCGUGCCAUUGUUGGCAUUGAGAUUUUGUAUGCUGUGCAAAAGAUACUCACAAAACUUGGAUUAUAAACAGUUUUAUAUACUUAUGGACUUUUGACGUUUCGAGAAUUCUCGUGAUAUCCAUAAAGUCUAAAGGCUUCAACAUGUGAUGGAACCGCGCACUCAUCUAAUCUAACUAAUCAAACAUGUGAAUCUGCAUUAAUUUACGUUGAUGAUGCUGGGAAAACCUCUGCAGCCUACAAUACUAAUAUUAAUAUUAAUGCUGAGUGAGUGAAAACCUCUGCAGCCCCCUGUGCUAUUUCCCAAAAGCCAGGUCUGUUUCAUCUUCACGUGCAACAAGUUUCAAAUACUUGCCGAAUAUGGUAGACUCUCCAUGAAAAUUAGUACUCCCUCCGUCCCACUCUGGCCUUCCGUCCUGUCCCAAAUUAUAGUUCAUUUUUUAAUUGGAAAAUGUAGUUAUCUUUUAAUUUUUUUUAAAAAAAUAUUCUUAUUUAAUGUAAGUUGUUAUUACUAUAAACUACCUUAUUUAAUAUAGUAGAUUAUUAGUAUUGAAUAUAACCUAACUCAUUUAAUACAUUUAGAUUUUUCAAAACAUAUUAUUGAUAUGUGAAUAAAAAGUAGCACAGAAUGUGAGACAGAGAAUCCCGUCGCGGGUGUAAGGAGAACCAACGCAACGACGCAGUCAAAGCAAACUAAUUAAGCUGAGAAGAUAAGGUACGUGGUGGCUAGACUCUGGAGAUGCAAGUCAUUAUGCCCACACAGACUGCAAUAUAUCUGUUCUGCACAAAUGACUUGCUUUUCGGGGCACCAUCUCUUCAAAUCAUUUGAAAGUUAACAAACAAACAAACAAACAAGAUGCAAUAGUUGAAUAUUAUAACCUCUAUGGUUAAAAAAUGGAUUAAAUUUAUCCUAAUCAUUACUUACUAUACACUGCUGAUAAAAAAAAAAUAUAUCUGCCAAUGACUUAGAGGGACAAGAUGGUAAUGGCCUAUGACUUUUGACUGGGACAUCUGUUUGCUUGUAGACAAACUACAAAACUGGAACGCCCAUGUUGUCUUUAAGAUAAUGGGCAUUGACGCUACGUACGACAAUCACCACACUUUUUAUAAGUAGAAGAAGAAGAUAGACAGAAGACCCCUCUCAAGUCCCCAUGAGGUGUUUUGUUCGUGUUGUCCAAUUGAACAUUCCACUUUUCUUUUUCAUUUUUUGUCAAGAAAUGGGAGGAGAUUCUGAUUUGCUUCUCAAAACUUUUCAGGCCCAGCCAAGUAAAGCUCUUUUGUUGGCCACGAAGUAGUUAUCAGCUUUUCUGGUGAAAAUUACAGCACGAAGUAAAGCCAUGGCCGCCACGUUAGGCGAUCGUCUUCUGUCUUUCACCCGUAAGAAUUACUACAAGUCUUAAGGACAUUUUCUGAAUUAAUUCACAGCUUCCAGUUCAUUUGAAAAUGAAAUAGCAUCAUCCCAUCUUACAGGCCCUCUUCACAAUCCUCGGCCUUCUAUGCGAAAAUGAAGCAUCUCAUAUAUACAUAUACCACAAAGCAAAGAACAAAAUACCCAAUUACAAAAAGGAGAUAUGAGGGUAAGAUCACUUUUGUUUUGGUAGAAGUUACUUGCAAUCUGAACUAUGUAGAGUGGAAGAAACGACAGAAAUGGCAAAAACAUGUCUGUGUGUAUAAUUAUUAAACAGCAAAAGCACGUAUAUAUAUAUAUAUUACAUGAUCAUCGUCCGGGAACAUUAGCAAGAACCAAAAUAUUAUAGACAUGGGUAUAUAUUUUAUAUUGUGGCCCUAGUGGAACAAAAAUGUAAACCAUAAGCCAAACAGCUUCUAGACAUUUUCUCUUUAUAAUAAAUAAAAAAAAAAAAAGAGGAAAAAAAAAAUGCUAGACGUUUUAGGUGUACCACGUGGAGCUAACCCAUUUCAAUGUCCCCAAAGCUGGUGGGUUUCAGCAACUCGCAAUCACCAACCGCAGCUUGACCCAGCAAAUAGCCGUAGAACUCAGCGUCAGGCACCCACCACGGCGGGAACAGCCACCCGUCGACCACCGAGUCAGACAGUGUCAACUCGGACGAGUCAAAACUCUCCUCCAGACUCGGCAACUCGAUAAUCUCAUCCAACUCCUCCGACGAAGCCGUCAUUGUAGUUGUUGAUGGUGAUGAUAUUGAGUCGCUCACUGAUGACGAUAGCGACGACGAGGAGGAGGAGCAUAAAGAGCUGAGCUCCGCCAUUGCGGCCGCCUUAGCUGCAGCCGCUUGAACGUCCCGGGGAGCGAGCGAGACUGGGCGGGGCAACGACUCAACGAGUUGAGGAAAAUUUAAAAUGGCCGAGUUGCCUUUAAUACUCAGGGCAGCCACGUCAUGGGCUCUAGCAGCCAUUUCAGCGGUGGAAUAGGUUCCGAGCCAUAUGCGCGAUUUUUUACGUGGCUCGCGAAUUUCAGACACCCAUUUUCCCCAGCUCCGCAUCCGCACUCCUCUAUAAACUGGAUGCUUGUUGCCGCUGUUGUCGCGUUGUCUCUUGAGCGGCGGCCUGUCUUCUUCUUCUUCUUCCUUGGAAACUUUUACGAGCUCGGCGGACGGGUUAGACUGAGUUGACCCGGAGGACGAUGAUGACGACGACGAAGAACUUAAAGAUGAAGAACACGAACUCGGUGGCUCAGACAUUAUUAUUAUGAUCAGGAAAAGAAAAACCGCAUGCAGGGGUGUUGGUACACUGGAAAGAAAGAAUGGUUAAAGAUAAAUAUAGGGGACAAAUGUCAAUAUACCCGUUGGGGAAUGGGGGGGUGGAGAGAGAGAGUGGGGGGCUUUAUAGAGAGGAGGGGGUUGUGGGGGUGGCCUGAGUACGAAAUUAAAGAGUUAAAAAGUUAAUACGCUCUCUUUCAAUUUCUGGAACAGUGACAAUUAACCUACCGGCUACCAAUUACAGCGCUUACUUACGGACUAAUAAUGAGCUCAUUCAUACUACUCUUGCCUAAGUGGCUAAGUACUACUAACUACUACUACUAAGUACUCCCUCGCUCACUCACUUGAGGAUUGAAAAUGAGAGACCCACCCCCAGCCCGAGAGAGAGAGAGAAGCUGAAAAGUACAAACAACGAGGCCGAGGAGGGAAGAAGAAGAAGAAGACGACGACGGGGUUUGGAGGGUGGGACCUACGCAAGCAAUGGGUCAUGACGUUGAACAGUAAUAUAUGUGGGCUCCAUAAUGGUUGGUACCCAAUGCCUUAAAAAUAAAUUUUGAAAAUGUCUGCCCAUCUCGAAUCUCUUUGUUUUUCUUUUUAUACUGCGCUCUUUUUUUUUUUGGUUUCAACUGGUGGCAUCGGCAGCACAAAUUUGAGGAAUUUUUUGUCGCUGGAAACCAAAGGGUUCAAUUGACGACGAAGUGUAAAAAGUGAUUCACAUGAAGACGACGUCUGAAUGAAAAAGUAUGAUCCGAUUAAAAGGACAAGAAACUACUAACUGUGUCAAAAAUCAACAUGUUGUUGUCUCGAGUCUUGACAAGUUAAAUACUACUAGUAAAUACCACCACUGGUACUAUAAAAUCACUGCUUAUUAUAAUACUAAGAUAUAAAAGUUGGUUUUUUUUUGGGUGAGGUGAAGUCCUUCUAUUAUAUUAUUUGAAUUUAUAAUGGGGAACAAAAGAAUUACCGGUACCAGAUAAAGGCCGUCCGUCACCAAAAGGAAGAGGCCCGCCGUUGUUGGACUUGGAGCAGGUCUCGUAGAAUGGUGGUAUCUUUCAAAUCCCAUUCAUGUUUGUAUCCGUUGGAGGGAUCCUGCUCCUACGUCGUAAUCCUGCCACUUAGCACUUUGUCCCGUUGUUCGUUAUGGAUUGGUGGUAGAGUAAAUACUCGUACUUAGCAGUAGUCGCAAGUAAUUGGCCGCUGGGUGUGAACGUGAUUCUCAUUUGUCUUCCAACUCUUCUUGAAUUCAUUCAUUAUUGAUGAUUAGGAAAUUGUAGCCGGAGAGCUCCGCUCAGUCCUCUCCUCCUUGCCUUGGGUGCUAGGGUCGUCUGCUCCAAAUCCCAAGAGCUGAAAGACGGACCCGACCGCCCUUGUGAGCAACUGACGACACGAAUGACCGAAAAAAGCAACGAGAUGACGCGAAAGCGCAUCUAUCCAAUAUAUAUAAAAAAAAAAAAAAACAUGUUAAUAGCUCCAUAUCAAUUAUUUUGUUAUAUUUUGAAAUUUUUAUUUUUUUUCGUACUACUUUUUUGAACUUUAUUCUCACAAAUUCAAAAUUUAAAUUUGAAUGAUAAUAUAUAUAUAUAUUUAUGAUUAAAAAAAUUAAAAAAAGUGAUUUAACUUUCUCAACAUAACAAACAUAUUAACACGUCCGACAAUGAAAAGUACAAUAAUGCUUUCAACCAAUGAGACAGAAGGAUUACUAUUUUUGUACAUCUUCCUUUGAAUGUAAUUCAUGACAACCCUUUUGUCCUUUUCUUUUUUUACAUACUAGCAAUAAUUGACCUUAUCUCGUUCUCAAUCCAUAUAACAAGCCACGCCAUCUAGUUGUAUAAAUUAGCCGACUGUGAAUAAUUACUCUUCUGUGAUGUAUUUAGCCGACUGUGAAAAGAAAAGAUAAUUAAAAAUACAUUUCCGGUCUAUCUACCGCUUCGGUAAUUUGGUGGGAUGAAAUGGAGAAACAGGUGCGAAGAAGUUUCUUUGACACAAGGCCUCCGACUCCGAGAGAGGUUUUGUGGCUCACGGCAUUUAAUUGUCUGAAAUUUCCAACCAAGUUGUGAGUGAGUAUAGCAGAGGCCAAUUUUCGGUGCAAAAGCGGGGUGUCAGUAGCGUCCGCCUGCAGGCCAGGCCUCCUCAAAUUUGCCAGAAAAAGAAGACGGACGACCUCUCCUUCUUGUUUAUGUCUUGGCACGUACUACAAUGUUGUACAUCAGGCCCCUUCUGCUGCUCCGCUUAAAAAUCCCCUACUAUUAGACCUACUGCACACAUCCUCCUGAAGCUCUGGAAAACUACACAACUUAUUUCCCUGUAAGGAUGCUGUUGUGUCAAUACUCCGAUUUAUUACCGACCGAUGGCAACGUACCAAUCCCAAUCAAACAAUAAGGCCCCCCAGACCCAGUUGGAGUUAUGAACUGUGACACGACAUUGGGAUCUUAAAUUUUGUUUGACAAUUAAUUCGUGAAAAGUUCUCGUACAAGCAGCAUAAUAAUCUUUUUUUUUUUUUUUUUGCAUUGCUAGUAAUUUUGAAGCUUUUAUUAAAAUAUAUAUAUAUAUAUAUAUAUAUAUAUAUAUAUAUAUAUAUAUAUUAGCAAUUUAAUGUAUGGAAAAUGAAUGAAAACGUGAUUGAUAUAGGCGUUUAUAAAAAAAACGUAAAAUAUUAACAAUACUUUGGCUUAGACAAUGGGAAGUAACAAGUACACUGCUGCUAAACAGCACUCAAUUUGUUUUUCAAAAUUCAGAACUAAUUCAGCAAUUCUUAUACCACAAUAAAUAGUUAUCCAAAAACAAAAUAUCCUUUGGGCUGAUGGUCACCAUCAAUGCAUUAAAACUUGUUGGGGUGGGAGACAAGGUCAUCAAUUUGCCACACUAUAGCGGCUCUGUUUAAAAAAUUCAGGCGGGUGCAUUGAGCACUCAUCUGAUCCGGUAGGUGGUUUAAUCCCCUUCGAGUUACCUUUAAACUUCUUCAGAUCCUCCCCUCCCUCCUUAGUAUAGGAUAAUCUUCCUCCUUUAAAUUUUACUCCUUGAGUUUUUGGCCCAAGGCAUACUCCCGAGAAUCGAUUGCCCAUGAAUUUGUAACACACAUCAAGCUUCCUAGACCCUUAGAAAACUAAUUAUGCCGUGUCUCAUUUGCUUGAGAGAAUGCCAUAAUCUGUUUUAAGAUAUACUCAUAUAUGCAUAAUAUAAUUGUUGAAAGUCAUUUUUAUUGGGGAUACAUGCAUUGCAGUAUAAGGCUCAUAAAUCAAUUCGCAAUCUUGUGCCACCUACUUGCCAUCCAUCUUACGAUAAAUGAUCUUACCAGCCCACAACAUAUUGUUUCGUGCCAUUUACACAAAUAUAAACUUCUAAAUGACAUUAGUAUUAUUGUACAAUUGUUUUGCUCUUUCAGAUGGGCUUUGGAAGUGGUCCAAUAUCUCCCAAGAAUUUGUUUGCGUGUCAACAAAAUCACAAUCUGGAUUCUGGAGGGUGUUUACUCAGCCCACAUAUACGCACUUGGCCCGCAUGAAUUCUGGCGGCAUAUUUUGCAGCUCUCUAGAAGCGUUGGUACUUGCUGCUACUAGUGCUCUCUAUCAGGUGUCAGAUUAAUGUUAAUCGGAUUGAUCAACCAAACACCCUCUCCCGUUUGUUCCCUUUUGGAGGAUUUUUCUCUAGUCAUUAGUCAAGAAUUCUGUUCUAAACAUGUUUGACUGAUCACUGCAAUAAAGAGCAAGUUCAUUUUCCUAAGAUUGCUGAUUUCAAAGAGGUUUUUUUUUUUAAAAAAAAAAAAAAAUUUAUUCAAUCAGCUGCUAGAAGAAGGCUCGACACGAUGAGAAAAUAUAAAACCACCAGAGUACCUGAAGAGAAGGGGGAAAGAAAAAUAUUUAACCCCAGCCACCAACUGCAGCAUAAAGAAUUUAAUUUAUGAUGAAAUGAAACUAUGCUCUCUAAUGGAGUGGGAUUCAAGAAAGCAGUAGUUUGCAAGUGUGUUUGUUCACCUAAUGUGAUAUAGUAACUAGAAGGAAUUAUAUAUAAUAGUAUAAAUGAAGCCAGGCCUAAAUGGAGCUACGGAAAUUUUGAUUAAGGUCAACGCCAGUUGCUCAGGACUGGCAAGUUGUUGGUCAGAUUGUAAUCAACCCGUGCGUGCUGAUCUGUUUCGAUUUUUUGCAUUUUUUUCUUUAAAAAGAUGCAGAAUUUGAAGAAUGGUUUCGUUGCAUGUUUUUUUUUUUCAACAACUGCACAUCUCUGCUAAAUGACCCGCAACAAUAUUGGGUUAUUUCCCCAAAUAUAUUUGCUUACAUUACCAUUACAAUUUUCAAUACAGCUUUUUAUUUUUUCAAUUAUCUUUUUAUCUCACAUACAUCACAUCACAAAAAAUACUACAGUAAAAAUAUCUCAAAUAAUUUACAUUCCAAACAAACUAUAAUUUGAACUUCACAUCUUUAAUAAAGAAAAUAAAGAAAGGAGAACUUAAAUAUUAGUAUCUUAUGUAAUUAAACGACCCGUGGUUCCAUAAUUCUUGCAUAAGCAAUAACACGUUACCUCCAGAAAAGAAAACGAGUUUAAGUUCAUCUCACUUGAAAAUUUUUUUGUAAAGAAAAUUUUGAGAUUUAACUUAUCCAACCCUCGACGAUUAAAGGGAUAAGUAAUUACAAUUUCAGUAUGUAAUAGAUUAAACCAUUAAUCCAACAAAAAAGAAAUGUAUCUAACCUCUCCUACAGAUAUACCAGGAAAGUAAACUGGGUUUGCGACAUUAGCGCGAUAGUACAAAACAGUGUAGUAAUUAGUAGCAGAUAACGAGGACAAAGGAGUCAUUUCGAAUCCACAAUUCUUGGUUAGCAUAUAAGCUAAUUAAGUGGAGAAAAAUUUUAUUAAAAAAAUUUAAAAGGAAAGGAAAGGAAAGAAAAAGAAAAGAAAUUCAAAGCUACACUAUUGACAGUAGUUUUCCCCGCGUUAUAAGCAGAAACUGACGAGAACGGAAACUCCAUGGUUGCUUUUUUCUCCCUUAGAAUUUGAGAAUUCCCCGAAGGAUGGAGGCGUCUAAGAGUAGUUACGAUGGCAUCAACGAAGCUUAUCGCCCAAUCCCUUCUCUUAACUUGGCUUUUAUGUUGGUUUGGCUCCUCUCUGCAGCUUGUUGGACCGUCAACACUUACAAAAACCGCCAUUUUCAGGUCUCUCGUCACUACUCAAAUCUUGGCAUCCCACCUCAAUCUCGGCCUCACUGCUUCUUUGAUUUUGAAAUGUCAAUAUAUAUUCAUGAGCCCAAUUUCCAAAUGGGUUCUUUUAUUUGAUCCCUGUAAUUUAACGAUUAACCUCAGUAUCUUAUUUUCACAUUUUCUUCCUGUUUUGCCUGCAAGUGUGGUUUCAAGAAUAGACCUUUUCUCUUUUUUUUUUUAGCAGAAAAUUUUGUUCUAAAUGUAUUUUAAGUUUGAAGGACUAAUUUGUGAAUUUUGCGGUGAUUGUUGCUGUCACUAGAACAGACGAAUAAAUUGCAAUGGACACUGACCGCUGUUCCAUUAAUUAAAGCUUUGCAGCUGACCUUAUCUUUUCUCUUCUGGUAAGUCUUUCUUUGUUGGAAGUAUCAUGAAUUAUUAGUCGCGGUGCCUAGUUGUUGAUUGUUUUCAUCACUAAUUUCUGAAAUUUGUGCAAGUUUAGCAACUAGUUAAUGUGAAGGGCAGGCCCAUAUUUUUCUCCAGUGCCUGUUAUGAUUUAGGUCUCUUUUGUACUCCCAGACUCGUAUUAGUAUGUUUGGUUUAAUGGUUAGAAGAUAUACUAAGAGCUCAUGUUCCCAUUAAAGAAAAAAAGAAGUUUGGGUAAACACAUAUGAGCAGAAAUUUGGAACUGAAAUCUGGACUUGAUGCUAAAAGGGGACAACUUAUGUUGCUUCUAUAUAUUGAUUACUUUCCUUGCAGAGGUGCGUUCUUUGAUCUUGUGUUUUUCCUGCAGGUAUUCGUGCUUUUAUCUUCAAGUAUGCUCUUUAUGGAUGUCUUUUGGUGUCUUUGUAACUGGAGUGCUCUUUCAGACUGUAACUUUUGUGUUGUUCCUCCUGAUUUCUCAUGGAUAUUGCAUCACAUAUGAGCGUCUUUCCAUUAUCGAGCGGAGAACAACAGCUGCUCUUGGGUGUGUCUUUUACUUGACUCUUGUUGGUUAUCGAGCAUCCGUACCUUACUUCUCAGUGAGUGUUCCUUUACAAAUUUUUGGCCAAAAUGCAGCUGAACUAGUGUCGUGGAGCCUUUUCUUUACAGAUUAAUUUCUCUAAUCUAUAGAAUUAAGAAACUGAUUCAGCUUAGUUUCCGUGAAACAGGCUCUUAUGCUGCUAAACUAUUUCGUGUCCUUCUAUAUGAUAUUCCGCCACAUAUCCCAGAACUUGUUGUUACUACGGGAACAGUUGACAAUCAUUGAAGAUGAGGAAGUUCAUGCAAUGCAUGACGCAAUCUGUACAAAAUACAUCAUGUUCAAGUAUGCAUUACUUUAUGUAGUACAUUGUGCUUUUCUGCAUAAAUCUCAUAUCCCAUUUGUCCCUGGGCAAAAGUUUAGAACUAAAGUAGUUGAUAAAGUCUCGUGUGUUUGAACUGUCCAGGAAAUUUCAAGGUGCAAUGCACAUUGUGGCAAUGGCAGAAUUGGCAGUAAGUAUAUUCUGCUUCUACCUUAGUUCUGCAGUAGUCAGAAUGUAAAAUGCAGAUCUCUGUACUAAGCAAGCAUUUUUCUUGUCAGAUAUUUUUUAACAUAAACGAUUCAUUGGACAACUAUUGGCUCCGGUUGGUGGUUAGAGAAUGGGCACAGUUCUGCAUUAUCCUUUACAUCGGGUUUGUAAGAUAAUGUGUUGAUUAUUUAGGUGGAAUGCAUUAAGUUUUCAACCCUACCACUUUGAUUAAUUAUACUCAAUUUUUGUUGCAGAUGGACUUUUAGGUCAAAAGACUUGGCACCACGUUUCUCAGUUAUGCCUACUUUAAAGAGCACAGGGAUGAAAAUGGUGCCUCCGAUAUACAGCAUUGUAAGUUUUAUGCAGAAGUCUAAGCAUUCUGUGAAAUCACCCACCCAGAUGCAUGCAAGAUAUGUAUCUCGCCAUCUAGUGAGUGGUAAAUAUGGAAGAAAAACAGAAAGGAAGAGAUAAACUGGUUACAUUGGACCAACAGAGAGAUAAACGGUAAAAUUCCAAAAUAAUGACGUCAAAAUAGUGAGAUAAAAAUGGUGAAAUUUCCAAUUCUGCAUCUGUUUUAGCAUGACAUGGCAGUUUAGUUGCAUACCUUGGGAACAUUUCAGUUAUGUUUAUCUCGUUAAGUUUUGCUUGAUCUAUGGAGUAAGCUAGUAACUAUAUGUCCUUCCAGAAUUUGGUAGAACAUGGUUUUCAAAAAUUCUUUUUGUAUUUUGAUGCAGGAAAUGGAUGCAACAACCUUCAAAGAGUUUAAGAGUCAUGAGUGGCAUAUUGGUGUGGUAAGUUAGGGUUGUUGAAGCUGAAAGCUCCAAGUUACUUUGAAAUGCACUUUCUUGUGAACUUCAACCUUGACCUUCAUUCUUUUAAGUACAAGUGGAAUGUUUCCCUACUCUCCAAUAGGUUAGUCUCAGAAUAUGUCAAUCCGUUUUUAAAUUUUAAAAUCUUAGUUUAGACUAUUAGCCAAUGCACUCGUGGAUUCUUGAAAAACUAGAAUGAGGGAAAGGAAGGAAGAUAUAGUAAUUGUUGUCUCACUUUGUUAGCCUGACUUUAGUAAUAAUUCUACAACCAAUUAACUCAUCUUCUUCUUAAACAUGUAGUCUCAUCAUCAAGGUAAGAACUGGUUGGAAUGAGGGUUAUUUUUCUUUUUCUUUUCCACACUAAAAAACCUUGAAUUGCUUCCUUAUCACUGCCUACCAUUUAGUAGUUUGCUCUCGGGGUGCAUUUCUUGAUCUCAUGAUUUCAUUGCUAUGGUAUUGAACGCUAUGGUUUGUACUUGCAGCCCACUUCUCUGCAGAAAGGACGCUUAGAGGGUUCAGUCUUAGUUGUGAUUCAGCAUCCCCGUGCAGAUACAAUGACCUCAAUCAGCCCUGCCUCGCUCUGCACCACUCAAGUUCAUGCCUCUAACCUGCCUGUAAACCAAAGAAACUUCAACAAUCAACUUGUAUAGCUGUAGGUAUUCACAAAUAUUAUUAUUUUCAUGAUAACACAUUUUCUGAAAGAAAGGUUCCCGUAUGUCAUACCAGUUCGUCUAUUGUUAUAUGGACUUGAAACUAGAGCAUCUCUGAUGCAAACAGAUUCGUCAUUUUGUAACAUGUUGGGCAGAAAUGUGCAGCCUAAUCAAUAUGUAAAUGGAACAUGUUAGGUAUUUUCUUAUGUGGUAUCUCCCUCCCAGGUUACAAGAAGUAGUGUCACAUAAAUCAAUUAAUCUAUUCUAGCCAAACAAAAAAAAGUGAUUGAAUGUAAGUCAGACUGUUUGUUGCAUUCAAUUUUUUCGUGAGAGUGGUCCAAUACAAAACCGACCCAAAUAGUAGCAGUGACUUUGCCAUGGCGCAAGCCGAUAAUUGGACCUUCGAACCAUCUUUCGUCGAAGACUUGCUCCUGUAAACUUUACAAAACCGAGUAAAGCUCCAAAUGGUGGUGAUAUUUGGAAAGAGCUAUUAAACAACGAAAUUUUUGGGAAUAUAUAUAUAUAUAUACUAGGGGGAAGUACCCGCACAUCAUGCGGGUGUUUGAUGCCUGUAACUAAAGAGAAUUUUUUAGUAGUUGAAAUGAAUAUUAUUUCCAUAUUGACCAAGUUAUUUUUUAUCAAGAACCUAUCGGUACAUAUCAUCAAUAUUUUUGCCAGGUGAGCAAGUGAUUGAAAAUAAGAGUAAAAUAAUAAUGCAUAUUAAGUAAUAUUAACAAAAUUGUUGUAGAUAAUAAUACAUAUUAGCCGAAUCCUACUUAAUAUAAUGCAUGGAUAAUGGAGUAGUUUAGAGGGCAUUAGCCUAAUCCUGAAAGCCGAAAAGGGGAAAACGGAAGAAUGUGAAAGAGGAGGCAUCGGAACAACCAUAACCGAUAUUUAGACAUUAAAUCAUCAACAUACCUAUGUUUUUUGCUGUUUUAAUUGAGAUGUAAAUAGUGAUAUAUUGCUAGUGUGGAAGCUAUUUCAAAGUUAUGGGAUUCAAACAUGAGAACUCAUGCAUUGGUAUUAUUAUGAGUUGUUUGAAUGAAUAGCUGCAGCAUCUCUUUAUUUUAAUUGCACUAUGACACCAUUUCAAUAAUUACACCAACACAUAUGCUCAUAUAAGUUGUACCCAAUGCACUAACGAUUGCAAAAUAAUCCCUCAUUCCAAAAAUACCUAGAUGUCCUUAUAUUAUAUAAGAAUGAGUUUUGGUCAAUUUUGUCAAAUGCUACUAUAUGAUAACAUCCAACAAUCAUUUCAUUUGGUGCAAUAGCUAAUAAAUUAAGUAGGCAAAGAUUUUACAAAUUCUUAGAAAUUGAAGUUAUUAACUUGUAUAAAUUAAGAUCCUUUUUAAACUACUUUGGGAGUUUUGUUUUUGUUAAAAUUGUAAUAAAGUAUUUACAAGGAUCUUCAAAUGAUAAGAAUAUGUUUGUCCAUAUAAUUUUUUGGUAGUACUAAAUUUGCUAUAGUUUCAGUCAAUUGGUGAUAAAACAACUCCAACUUCAAUCGAAUUUUGGAACUAUUUAUGUGGCAUAAUUUGUGGUGCAAUACUGAUAAAGUAUGUAUCUAAAUUUAGGUUGAAUUCUAAUGUUUUGUUAAGGAAGUUAGGAAUGAAAGCUUUAACGAAUUCUAUUCAACCACUAUAGACUACUCGAUUACUAUAAGUUUAGCAGAAUAUAAGAGAAAAUAAACAUAUUAUCAAACAUAAGAUUAAGACAAGCUAUAAGUUUUAUAGCAGCAGAUCAAACUACCAAAAUCAAUUAUCACAUGAUCGUAUAAAUGAAUCAACUUUAUCACCAUAGCAAAUCAGCAGUACAAAGGUCAAACUACCACCAAAUGGAUCAAAUAUUCCUAGAAAUCGGACAAUCAUAUAUAUAACAAAAUACAUAAAUGAACGAACUUUAUCACCAAACCAAAUCAGUAUCACUAAAUACGCACUAACACCAAAAUCAAUUCCAGAACUAACGACAUGUGUAUCAAAAGAAUUUAAAAGAUUCAGCAGAAAGGAUAAACUUUUGGUUAUCUUAUGCCAAAUGUUCCCUGCAAAACUUUUCCUCACACACAUGAGGCUGACAUUGUUAAUGCAUUAGUAUUACCUGAUUAAAUAUAUUAACAUGUGCACAAAAAGCAGUUAUAUAUGUAUCAUAGGUUAUUUGCAAAUUAUGACAAAUUUCAAUGUAAAAAAUACAGUUUCAACAUACCUUGGCUUGGAGAUUCUGAUUAGGAGAUGUAACACACUUCCAAUGAAUCGUGUUCCUACCACAAAUACAAGUAAAGCAAAAAAAAAUUUCAAAAAGCUAAGUCAAUUGAUUGUUAUGAUUUGUCUUCAAAUGGAUGAAAGAUGGUUCCAGACAACAAUACCUUUAUUGAGCAAACCUAAAAACUAAGAAAAGGGGAUGAACUGAUGGCCAACACUUGAUGCUAUAAGUUUUUUAAUAAUUAGCAUUAAUUUUGUCUUAAUCAUCCUGGUUCUAGAAUGGUUGGGAGUGGUAAAGAUAGCUAAAAAGACAAUCUUUUAACUUAGACCUUAAACCAAAAUACAUGAAAUUGAAGCAGCAGAAUUUGAAUAGUAACACCUAUCUAGCCAACUUCGUGCCAUUAUGUGAGGACUUGCAAAUUCCUUGUAUUUUUCCUCAAAAAUACCCUUUUAUUUGAAAAUUAGUAUUUACCAAAGGCCACUACCCAAAUAUUUCACAUUAAGUGUAGAUAAACCUAGAAAAUAGGGUUUUACGCUUCGGUUUCAAGUUUGGAGCAAAAUUAGGGUUUUCGCGAUUUUUCGCCGGAUGAAUUUUCGGUACAGAGUAAGGAUUAAAUUUGAGGAUUAAAAGUGACUUUUAAGUGAGAAAUAAUAUGUGAUUGGUAGCAAUGAUAUAAGGUUAGUGAAUGGGAAGUAAAAACCCUAGUACGUGAGUUUUUAAGAAAAACGGCGCGAACCGGCGCGAACCGGCGGGUCCCGCGCACUACCGUUUGAACGCACCACUUGACCACCAUUUUUGCUUACCAAACAAAUUUAUUGAACUUGAGCAAAAUAUCUUCUCCCUUGGCAGCAAGCUUGACAGAAAUUUGUGGCUCAUAAGCAAGGGAAAGAAAGAGAAAAAUUAGUGGCCAAGAUUAGGCCAAGUGUUGGGCAAUUUGUGGACACCAUUAGUUCUAAUCCUUUUGGCUUUAAUAUAAGACAACUUAGCUUCAUACCUCUUCAUAUUUCUGCCAAGGGAGCUGAGAGAGAGAGAGGAGAAGAACAAGAGUGAACUUUCUUCAUUUCUUCUUGAUUCAAGCUACAAAGUGAGAAAUCAAAAGAACUAAACCGAUUAAACUUCUCCUUGAGUGAUUAGCUAGUGUUUGGUGGUGAAAUUUUGGAAAGAGAAGGCUUGGGCUACACUUGGAGAACUCAUAUUAAGGUAAGGAAGAUGAUAUCUCUCUAAAUUUUUCUUUCAAUCUUGGUUAAAUUAAGUCUAGUAACUUGAGUAGUAGUGGAAUCAUGGAUGCUAGCAUGUUUGGAAGUUUUUCCCCUCUUUAUAUGAUGAACUAGGGUUUGGGAAUUCUGCCAACUUGUUGUAUGAUGCUUGUAUGUUACAAUUAAUGUUGUAUAAGAUGUUUUGGUAGUGUGAGAAGUGAGAAAUUGGGGAAAGUUGCACUAGAAACUACAAAUUUCAGAUUUCUGGAAAUUCUAGCUUCCAUUCUGUCCGGUUUGGUAACUGCAUGUUAGAGGCCGAAUUGGCCUUGGGUCAAAGAAGGAAAGUUGUAGAGAAUGGUAUUUUGUAGGUCUCUGUAAAAUUUCAGCUCAAUCGGAGCAACGUAGGUCAUGGAAAGUCCGAAAUACCCUUACUAUUUUAAGUAUUUCCCAAGCAGUCCGUGUGAUCAGUUAAGUCCAGUUUAUCACGUUUUUCGACUAGGAUCCAUUCUGAUUUAGCUUUUUGCCAAAACAUGAAAGUUGUAGUAUUCUGAAUUAGCUUUCAAAUGCCUCUAAGAACACCUGAUUCGGACUUGUGUACUCUGAGUUAUGUCCAUUACAGUGUUCUGCGUUUAAACAGCCGACGAAUUGGUUUUUGGUUUAGUAAUUCGAGAAUUUGACCAAGUUACAUUAGAAACUGGACUAAGUGACCUUCAUGAACAUUGUAACCCUGAGUCUUAGCUUCGAAACGGCAUAGGUUACGUCUUAAUCUGAUAAGCGUAGCCUCGGAUACGUUAUUUCCGCUUUCAUACGUCAAAUCUGUCUUUUGCUAAAUUGAAUUUCUGCACUUAUUAUUACUGUAUUUGUUAUUCUUAUGAUAUUGUCAGCCUAUGGAAUGGCUCUUGACUUGAAUUGCUUAUGUGUGAUGUUGGGUUGUGGUUGAGGAAAAAUAAUGAAGCCAAAAUGGCUGGAAAAUUAGGUAAACACAAAGGGCGUGCUGCCCAAAUUUUCGCUCGAGGUCUAGGUUUCUAUUUGAACUUGUAUACUUUUGUUAGGCCAAUACCAUGACCGGUUUUCCAUUUUAAAACAUGAUUUUUCAUCCUUGGGUUCAAACAACCCUCUUCUUACUUGAAAGUCAUCUUUACACGUUUUACUCUUAAUUAGUCGGGUAUCUUCGUUUCCCUUAAAUGUUUUGCUCGAUAAACUGUAAUAUGUUCUCUUGUUCAACCUUAGGUUUCAUUGGUGACUAAGGGUAAUAUCCUGAAGGAUUUUGCAUGUUAUUUUGCAUAUCUAGGUGAGUGUUCCUUAUUUGACUUUAUGGCUUGUUGUUAUCAUUUGCUAAUGUGUUAAUUGCUUUUAAUGAUUUCCAAAAUUAGCUUUCUAGGCGAGUGUGUACUUUAUCGUACUCGACCUAAAUAACUGUGCAAUUUUCAAGGAUUUAAUGAUUGAAAUGUUACUUGCGCAUGAAUGUAAGCCUUUUGGGCUGAACUAGCCAUUGCCCCUUGUUACCGGUCGUCUCGAGCCAGAAACGGACUCGGUCGGGCGAUUAGGGACUUGGGUGAACGUUUGGUAUACUUGAGUAUUACCGUGUAGGUUGGUGGAGACUGGCCAACGGCCAGGACGGGGGUGAAUGAAUGAAUGAACGAACGAACGAACGAGGGUUUAUUGAUAAACGAAAAAUACAUUUUCUAAUGAUUGGAGGAAUAAGGGGAAAUGUCAGGAGAACGAAUGAAUGAAAUAACGAAUUGCUCCUUGUGAGCCGUAUCCUUUUAAUGAAUGUGUUACUAUCGCUUUCCAUUGUAAAUGUUUCUUGAAUUAUUGAUACUCCAUGUUUAAUGUAUUGGAUUGAUUAUCUGAUUAUGUGUUCGGAACCUCACUGGGCUUUUAGUUCAUUCCUUUAGUUUUGUUUUCCUUACAGGGGAAGGCGAGCGAGGACGUGAGCUUGAGAUAGACUAGCCAAUCUAGUUUUGUUUCUUUUGUUUCUUUUGUAGCGGUUCUCGCCUAGUGCUUGGCACGGGCUGGACGUAUGAAGGAUUGAGAACCCUUGUAUAUUUGAUGUUUAUAUUCUCUUUUGGGUUGGCAAUGUAUAUAAGUUCCGCUUUAAGUUUGGAUCAAUGCCCUAUUUAUUCUAGUGAUUUAUUUCAAUUUUUAAUUGAGAACUGUAGCGAACGACUGAGUCCCGGCGAGAGCUGGGCAGGCGGCCCGCCGAACCCUCUGGUAUGCCUUAGGGGGAGGUGGGGUCGUUACACAUUAUCCCUAAUAAUUGUGUCUAAUAAAUCAUUUGUAGUAAACCUUUACAGUGAAUGGAAUUUAGCCAAUCGAGAAGUCUAGAAGUUUAAUCAGUUACAUCAAAUCAAUGUUCUCCAACCUUUAAUUUGCAACUCACCAAAAAGACCAGUACAACAAACUCACAUUCCUAAAAUACCCCUCUCUCAUUAAGUUCUUUCACUAAUUACCUACUAAACCACAUUCUCCCCAAUUUAAUUAGAAACUAAGGACGCUUAAAUAAUUACAACCACACAAAAGCUAUUAUCACUUAUACCCGCAACUAAAAAGACAACCAAAAUAAUCAUACAUUUCCAAAAUACCCAUAAAAAGACACAACCCCAUUUCUGGAAAUGUAUGACAAAAGAAUUCACCAUAAGUUGUAUUUUGUGUUGUACCUACCAUAUAAACUUUAAAUGUACAAAUAUGAGGAUAUCUCUGUAAACAUACCCAAAGACAUGCUGCUAUGAGUUGUACCAAAAACUUUAAAAAAGCUACAUAUUAUUUCAUAUUUCCAAAAUGCCCCUACCCAUACGGUUGAAAUUCAAAACCCUCUUUGACUAAAACUCAUUCUUAUAUAGUAUAAGGAAUUGGUAGCUAAGAAAUAUUCCGGUAAUUAUACCAGCACACAAGCAUACAUGGAUUGUACAAAAUGCAAAAACGGUUGCACACUCAUAACACAUUCCAUCAAUACCUAAGUGGCUCAUCAAUGACAACUUUAAAUGUAUUAAAAUGAUAAAUUAUUAGUAGUUAAGGGAUAUUCCAGUAAUUACACCAACGCACAAGCAUAUGUAGGUUGUACAACAUGUAAAAACGGUUGCACACUCAUAACACAUUCCAUCAAUACCCAAAUGGAUCAUCAAUGAGAACUUUAAAUGUAUUAAAAUAGGGUCAUUUCAGUAAACAUAUCCAAAUACAAGCUUCGUUAAGUUGUACAUAAAGCUUUUAAGCUAAUGCAUAAUAUUAAGGAUUCCCAAAAUAACCCCACCCUUACGGUUGAAAUCUUUGCCCUAAACUCAUUCUUAUAUAGUAUAAGGAUAUUGAUACAAAUAUUGAGGCAAAUAAUAAGAGAAGCAAUGACAAAAUGUUUCUUUCUUUGUAAAACUCACACAACUUAUAACAUGAAAUUACUCUAUUUAUAGAGUUUAAACCAACUCCACUAACUAUUCCACUAACUGCACUCACUCCACUAGCAACUCCACUAACUCCACUAAGUACUCCACUAAUCUCACUAGUUAUUUCACUAACUCUACUAAUUAGGUAGCAUAAACAAAUAUGAUUAAUUAACAACGGUAAAUAUUUCUAACAUAUAUAUCCAGUAAAUGCAAGUUUUAAAAAAAUGUAUUCAGUGAAACAUAAUUUUUAGACAAUAAACGUCUACAAAAAAAAUAAUAAAAAAUGCAUUCUGCGAAUACAACUUUUUCAAUAAACAUUGCAUUUAAAGAAAAUUUCUUUGGGAAGACCUUUGAGAAUUUGUUUUAAAAACUCGCGCUCUUUGAGAAUCUAUUGUUCCAAACCUCAUAAUAGACAGAUCAGCCUAUUUAAAUCUCACAAAAACGAAGUCGUGAUGAAAUGAAGCAGGCCAAUUACUUUUCCCAGACAUUUGGACCUUUACAUUGGUGGGUUGGGCCACGAACCCGUAGAGAUAAAUACAGUACAGCUAACCAUUCGGCCCAUGUUAAGAGAAUGCGAAGGCGUUCAUCCUCACUCCUCAGUUGUAAAACCGGCGGCAACGGAGUGUCGUUUUCGUUUGUAGCUGGAAUAACAUUCCCAAGAACUUUAAUCCCCAUGAGUGCUGGUAAGCUCUCUCUCUCUAUGCUUUUCCAUCAUAGUAUUUGCCAUUUUCAUUGGAGAUGACGGUGUCGACUAUGUGGCCAAUUGGGAUCACCUAGAUUGUACCAAUUAUUAUGAAUAUUUGGCUUUGACUAUGAUGAAGCAGUACCUGAAUAUUUGCGCCACAUAAAUUUGUUUUAUUAGCUGUUCUACGUAUUUGAAGCUUGAAAUACAGCAUUUUUGUUUACGUGUUACACUUGAAUUUUAUUUGCUUAUAUGCUGUAUUGAGCUACUUUGAUUAAAUUCUGACUUCGUCUUUUUCUUUUUGUUUGAAGUUGAUCUUAUUCUUAGUUGGGUUCGAGAUAAAGUUUUGUUUUGAAGCAACCCCUGUCGAAAAUUUUGCUAUUUAGCUGCUUUUUUCCAUGAAGAUUGGUCUGGAGGGUGAAAAAGAUUAGUUUUUUUUUUAAUCAGAACUUUCGCUUUUGUGAUUGCUCUCUUGAAAGAAAUUUGAAUUUGGAACAGAUGUGGUCAUAGUGGAAGAGUCGGUUAAUAUUUCAGGACACUCUAUUUUGUCUUCUUGAUUGACAUUAGUUACUCCCAUAAAGGGGUAGAUGCUGGAUUUCUUUACAUGGUGUAGAAAUAUUCCCGUCUCAUACCAUAUCAAUCUCCAGGUUAAGGCUUAAACGUGCAACUUACAGCUUAAAUGUGCCUUUCUUUGCAUUUUGCUUUGCAGGUGGUGCAUUUGGUGGAAAUAGAGGAGUAAGGCCUGUACCACCUGAAAAAGGAGUUUUCCCUUUAGACCACAUGCAUUUAUGUGAUCAGGUAUGGCCAUUUAACUAUGUCUUUUGGUUAUCAUUUGUGUAUUUCAGGUUGCUAAUCGUUUAAAUAUUGUAAAAGUUAGUUAUGUAAAUCCUUAGCCCUCUGAAUUGUUUCAGGAGAAGAAAGAAUAUAUCAGUUGCCUUAAAUCUUCUGGGCAUAAAUCUGAAAAAUGCCGUCACCUCUCAAAGAUGUAUUUGCAAUGUCGUAUGGAAAAGUAAGUAAUCUGCUUCUUUGACAAUAUGGACCUCUUAAUCUGUUUCUAAAUUCCCGUAUGAGGUAUUUGAUUUUUUUUUUUUUGGGUUUGAAAAAUUUCUUUUUUUUGGGUUUGAAAAAAUCGUUCAGCAAUCUGUUUUAGUUUUUGGGCUCAAUGUUGCACUAUCUGCUACAGUUAACUUCAUUAGUCCCAUGUUGACAUAGAUAUUUCUGCCCAAACCUUUGGACUGACUGGAGUCACUCUGAAAGAAAGUUUUUUGCCUUUUUUUUUUGUAAAUAGUUUUUUUUUUGGCCAUUAUUACUACACCUGAACUACUAAUUUUCUUUAGUCAAUUGAACCUACGAGGCUUUCUCAGCUUCUUGUGUUCUGCAGACCAUUUCUACCUUCAACACUAGCCAUUUCAAUUGCGAAUAUCCGUUUGUGAUGGCUGAUUCAUAAUGUGAAAGUCUGAACACUUUCCUGGAUAUAAUUUGCCUCUCUAUCCAUUUGAAUGACAAUACACACUCAAACCAGUAGUGAAGAUCGCUUGUUAUGCGUUUCAUUGUUUAGAAGUACCUAUUUCAUGAUUUUUGUACCAUUCAACCCUAAUUUUUUCCUCCUAAUUCAACAGACAAGAAGCUAAUCUUGUGUAGUCAUCCAGGGAAUCAUUCAAAUCAAAUCCUGUGCAUUUCAAGAAGUGUAUCAAUUUCUUAUGCAUCAAAUACACAGUGAUACUGUUCCUGGAUAAUUUCCUGUCAAAGAAGAUCACUUUUUUAUAGAUAGAAAUGAUUCCAGCUCAGCUGCCCUUGUGCUUCCCACAGCUACUCUUGAGUUUGUCUGGGUUGUUUUGAAUCUUUAUUGGACCUCUGCUCAAAAGAUUAUCCCCUCCUGUCUCUAGUUCCAAGUUUUCAUUGUCAAUCUAGAAGCAGAAAAAGACUAGAUAUGAGCCAAUAAACUCUUGCCCAUGUUUGGAAGAAUUUAUUGUACUGCCCUGUCAAUUAGUGCAUCAUUUUCGUUUAAUGACUAUUAUCUCAGGUAGACAUAUGACUCCUGCCCUCCAUUUGCAUUGCUAUUGCUAGAUGUUGUGAUCUUGGAGAAAAGGCAUAAAACUACUUUAUUUUCCUAUUCCUGCAGCCUGGCUCGGGACUUGAGUCAUUGAUACUGCUAUGAAAUUGGUCUUUGAGGGAACUGGAUGGCUUGAGGUAUUUCAUAUAGCCAACCGUAUCAAUGUGAAAAUCUUGAAACAGAUUAAAAAGAAUUACGACCAACACCAGCUUAUUCAAUUUGUAAGCCUAGUUAAAGAGAUGUCGUAAGACAACUAAAUCUGGAGGAUACAAUAGCUUAAUGUCCCUGCUACAUGCCAAUCAAGAGGACAAGCAAAGUAGAAGAGAGGAAAGAAAUGGAAAUUUUUUGUGUUGCACGCUUCCUUUCUACAUGAUUUGUUUUUCUGAAUAAAUUCAGCUCUAUAUGAACCCAGGGAACUGUUGGCUUUACAAGUAAUUCUUGUGUGGGAUAUGGCAUGCAGGAACUUGAUGGCGAAGCAAGACAUGUCAGAACUUGGAUUCAGAAAGGAGAGCGAUGUGGAAGCCUUACGAGAUGGAAGUAGAAAUGGUAGCUUAGAUGACUGAGGAACUUCAUUGCUGGGCUCUAACGGGACAAUUGCUCACCGAAGAUAGAAUUUCCUGACUUUUUUGUAUCAUUACAGCACUGCUUUGCUGUAUUAUUACAGUACUGCUUUGCUGUAAAAUUGUGCAUAUCGUGCCCAUAAGGUUUCUGGUCCUUUGACAUGUUAGUAAUUUGUUGGAAGAUUUAAGGUGAAACUGUUGAGUUUUUUAAUCUUUUCAUGUUUUGUUGCAUUUACUAUUUCGUUUUGCUCACCUUUUAAGUAAUGCUAGAGAUACAAGAAGUUGAUCAGUUGAUGAUAGGUGCAUCUAUGCCAUAUAUCUAUCAUUUUCUGAUGUGGAAACCAUGAUGCUACAGCUUUACAAAACUAUAAAAUACCCGAGAAACCCGAACUCUCCUACCGCCUCCCUCCCCCAACCACCCCCCGCCCUCUCUUCUCGGCUUCCCGAAACACAUAUAAGCAGGAUAAAAACUCACGUAUUGCACAACUUCUUUUGGCCAUUCUAGAGUAGUCGCUAACCAGAAAAGACGGGGUUGAAGGAGAAAAGGAGGUGGGGAAGAUACAAUGAUGAGAUAAGAAUUCAAGAUUAGCCUAACAGCCAUCAGGGACCAGAAUAAGAAGUAAGCUACGAGGCUUUUUAUAAUGAUGGAAUCAACCCCAAAUGUUUGGCGUACAAUAAUUAAUAAUAGCAGUGAUGUGUGAUUCUGAAGGAUCCGCACAAAUCAACUUGGUGCAACUCAAUUUAAGGACCUUAUUGGAUAAAUCUUGGCGCUUGAUUGCAGCAGCUCACUAAAACGCAAAUAUCGUCGAACAAGAAAUCGACCGUAUUGGAUAAAUCUCGUCGCUUGACAGCAACAGCUCACUAGAAGGCAAAUGUCGUAGAACAAGAAAUCGAUCAGACAUUGUUUGGGUGCUGGUGGGGGAGUUAAAUUCAAGAACUUCUACAUACUUGUUCAGAGAAGUAGAUAGUAAUAUUUUUGUUUAAAUUCAAGAACUUCCACAUGCUUCCACAGAAAAAAUACAAAGUAUUGUUAUUGUUUAGUUAAAUUCACUCAUAUUCUCUCUCUCUGUACCUCGAUGGCUUCGCUUGAGCAUAGUUGUUUAUAUACCAAUCUUGGGUUGGUUCCAUUUUCUUCGUUUUUUCGUCUCCAGCUCCAUGGCUUCCCCUCUACCCCUGCGACCUGCCCUAUUUCACAAGGACCACAGCCUGUAAGCUCUCUUUUUAAACUACAUUCUAAUCAGCGAGUUUACUUCGUCAUUUCACUGUUAAAAACAACAUAAUAAGAACUUUUUGGCAUCUAAAAGGUGAAAUGUUCUGCUUAUUCCUACUUUAGUCAGCUGGAGUUCUUGCAGUCAAUGUGCUCGCUUUAGCUUAGUUCAGAUGAUUUCUGAUCAUCAGCUCAUGCCAAAAGACAACGUUUCCAUGAUGCAGUCAAAGUUAUUUCUAUUUGUUGAAAGGAUCUGAUAGAGCAUUCUAAUUCCAUGGCGAUGUAUUGUUCGCCAUUUAAGUUUGGAUCUGAACCUAAUUGACAAUUGUUCAUAGAAAAAUCAUGAGCUUUCAUAGCAUGGUGAGCACUCGUAGUUUUGUAGAUAACUGAAAGUUGAGAUAAGGAGCAGUUUUAAUAUGCUAUUUAGGAUGCCAUUAAGCUGGUAUCCAAUUGCUGUUAAGGAUUUAAUUAGAGUCACCAGAUUGAGAGACAAGGCACAGGACUAAUCCAUAAAUUUAAGUUGUCUCCAUCUCAAACUCCAGGAUACUUCACUCUGAUUCUUAUUUUUGUAUUGCAGAAUAUCUGCAAUACCUAAGUCCAGAGCACCAUGUCAAUCAAAGGUAGUUAACACGAAAGACCAAGAGAAUCAUGGUCCAGCAAGAACUUCCAUUUCUCAUGGGUUCCAGUUUCCAUGUUGUAGAUCAACAAUCCAAACAGCUUCACAAAAACUGAUACCUCCAGGAGUUUUAUCAUCCAUGGGAUCAGCCCCUGAAUCUGAUCACCUGAUCACAGACGAUGAACCUUUUGUAGAUAGGGCUAAUAAUCAUGAAAUGGAAUUCACUCGGGUGAAUUGUCUUGUAUGGGUAUUGCAUGAAUCUGCCAGAGGUUUUUCGCUUGCUAUACAGGCGCUUGAGUUGGCAAGGACUGGGCCAGAGCUUGCAAUGGCAUGGAGAGGAGUUGAUGUGCAUGCCUGGCAUAAAAACAUGGCAUAUCAGGUAUGUCAAAAUGGAACAGGAAUAUGCCCAAAUAGAGAAAGGGUAAUAAAUAUUUCGGAAGAAAGAAAAUAUUUGAAACAUUAGAGUUGGGUGAUACAUAUAAGAUCUAGCGAUCUACUUUGUUUAAAUUACCAUUUGACUAAUAAUCAUAAUCGCCUCCAUUUACUGUGUUGGAGAUGUACCAGAAUCAUUGAUAUUUGGAAGUCAAAUAUCAUCUGAUGAGGACUCGAAAAACAACUACUUCGUUAAUAUGGUUGUACAGGUAGCAGUGUUUGCUUUGUUGAAAGCAGCAAUUGAAGUAGACUUAUUUCUUUGUCACAAAUGCAGCAACAACCUGUCUCCUGUCCAUGAAAUGUAAGUUGCAGAGACUAAGUUGAAAUAACAUGUUUAAUGUGGUUGAAUUUGAAUGUUUAAAUCAUGAAAUUCAAUGUUUCUUCAUAAAACCUUGCAAGCUUCCAAUUAAACAUGAUGAGAAAUGAUUUCUAGUGUAAAGACGACACUAUCAAGCUGCUGAUUAUUACCUUGACUCUUUUGAUGAUUGGGAUCUCAAACUUACGUGUCUGGCAUGAGGUUUGCCAUUAUGAUCCCUAAAUCUGAUUAAAUGUUUAGUAAUUGACAAAAGAGGUUUACAUUUAGAUGUUAGUAUAAUUUUGCUUUUGGCUCAGCUUGUCCGUGAAGGCAAACUUACUUGGUGAGCACAUAGAAAGAGAAUUGAACACGAGGAAUCCAAGAUUACUGCACUGGUUUAGAACAGUGGAGCUGCCACGCAUAGCUGGGCUGUUCAUUCCGUUAUUUCAGAAGUGGUCUAUGGAAUAUGCUGGAAGGUUUGUAACUUUAUCCUCUUAGCUUCAGAAUUUUAUGCCUUUGUACUGAAACUCCAACCAUCAGUUCCUCCCAAGUCAGUUUCCUGCAUACAUGCAAACACCUUGUACUUGACAGUCUGUGAAAAUCUAAAUCAUAUAGUUGGCACUUGGCACAGUGGUGUUGCAGGAAUCAUUCUCGCUAUAAGUUGUUGUGCUGCAAUAAGGAAACUGGAUCCUGGACGAAUUUGCCGUCCUUUAUUUUGUAUUUCAAUUGAAGAUGCAUUAGUGAAACUCAUGAACCUGUCACACAGUCUCGUUUCAUUAGAUAAAUUGCAUCAUUUGGCAAGUGAAGCCGGAUUUGAAGAGGAUUUCCUCUUGCACUUUGGUAGAAAGGUUUUGCCUUGUAAGAACACAGAAGAUAUAGAGUUCUGGAUUGGAUUGGUACAGAAGAAACUCUCUGCAGCAUUCUACAGAGAAAGUGUAUCUACGCACAGGCAUAUGUUCCACAACAAGGUUAGCCUCUAUUUUGUAUUGAUUUCUCUUUUAACCUGGAGGUAUAAAUGCUUGAACAAUCCUAUGUUAUCCUAAGAAUCCAUUUGGAUGGCUCGUGGAGCUUGCUUUGGGUUCUUAUGCAAUGUAUUAAAUCAUGUUCUCCACAUGUUCUGCUUAUGGUUAUGCUUACCUAUGGCUUUUCAACACUCACAUACUCUAAUGAACCUCAUUGUUAAAUGGAUCUCUCAUUUUUCCUUGGGAUUGUAGUUUCUCACUCAAUAGAUUCCAUGUUUUUUCUGCAGAUGAAAAAAUUCCAUUUCCUAUUUCCCCCUGAUCAAUAGUAUAGUUCUCAAUUUUAGAUCUUAUCAGGUUCAAGAGAGCAGUUUGGCUACUUUUGGCCUUUUUGCUUAUCUAGGAAGAGAGACAAGACUAUAUCUUUCGGGAAUGGGAAUUAAGGAUCUUGACAAGCAAACUAAAGAUUUCUUGAGGUUGAUUCCUAUACAUUUGGGUUAACCUAAAUCUCACAAUUUUGACCCCUUCGUACAUUGUUUAAGUAAUGAAGCUUCUAUACACUUCCAUGCAGUUAUUUAGAGUGUGGUAGCCUUGUUAUAUAUCCUGAACUUUCAACCUUAUCAGAGUAUCAGCUCUUCAUGGAGGUGAGUUAUCUUUAUAUUGAAACAGUGGAAACAUAUUGUAUACAGUUUGGGGUGGCAUAAAAGUUUCCAGUGCUGCUGCAUUUGUGGCUAUAGGUAGUAACUGAUGAAAUUGGAUGGCUGCAUUUUUAUCCUGCGGUUGGCUUUGAAUGGUGUCAAGAUAGGAGGAGGUCCAGACAGCGCAUGAUACAAGCAGAGAAAGAGAUUGUUCUCUACAAGGUUCUUACUGCAUGCUAUGAUGUUAUCUCAGAGUUUGCUCAUUACAGCCACUCAAGAAAGCAGCCAAUGGACUCAAAUUUGUUAGAAUUCUUACUUCAUUGGUAAUAAACUUUUACUGCCAUUGCUUAUUUGCAUUCUGCCUUCUGCCUUACUGGGUUUGCUUGAAUUUUGAGUUAGUUUUUGGUCAUAUUGUUUAGUCAGAGCCUGCUAGCGACUUGUAUGGAGGAUUACUGGGCUGCUUAUGAUGAGAUAGGGUAUGAAGCUUUGCUGAGCGGCCUAUACAUUUUGAUUAUUUAUCUUCACCAUUAACACUGAUUUUUAGAGAAACCAUAUAAUCUGUUAAUUGUCUGGAGCAGUGAACCACAACAUCUUGUGGAAAGAAGUGUAUCAGAGCCAAAAUAUCUUAUGGCAGAGCACUCGUCAAAGGAUUGGAUAAAAAGAGGAAAGGAUCAAUACGGACCUACCGUAAAUAAUGUAAAGUACCUUGGUACUCAUUUAGAUUUUAUCCAAUUUCACUUGUUCCAGAUGGAUAACAACAGAGACUUUAAUACCAACUUUCACACAUCUAUUUUUAUUCGCAACUACCAUGAAUGUUGGUUUGUGAAUAUCAGGAGGCUAUUGGCUCAGCUGUGGAGAAUGAGAUAACCGUAGGGAAGUCGGGCUCUGCUUCUCCAAUAAAGCCUUCAGAUGAGAACUUUCUGCAAAAAUCCUCCAGGAAAGUGAUAUCUGCAAGUGCUGUAAGUAUAGUAAUCUUGUGAUAUUGUGUCAUUGAUUGGGUAGAAACCUAGAAUAUGUUACUUCUGGAUAGCUAAUUUCGCAAAUAAUACCAUUCAGAAUGUGUGGAUGGGUACUCAGUUACUCUUUAUAGAUAUAAUUGAUGUUGUGGGGCUUCUGAAGAAGCAACUUCGUGGCUGCAAAAUGACGGAAAGGGAGAAGAAGAAAAUAAAGAAAACACUGGUCGACUUUGCUACACUGGUUCCAGUAAUAAUAUUAAUGCUGCUCCCUGUAAGUCUCGACACACCGAAAUUUUAUACUCAAAUUCACCUAUUCAUUUCUUCAGAGUUUUCAAUUAUUUCCUUGUACGAUUUCUCUGUUGUUUGAUAGUCACGCCCUGCUAGCAUCACUCUCAUUCGUGUACUAAUGAAUCUAAUGAAAGUCAAGAUGAUAUAAAACAAGCCAAAGUCAGGAAGCUGAAAAUUAGGAUGACACUGUUCUGCAUAGAAACAUGAUAAUCAAUCAAACUUUCAAGAAACACCUGCUUAACAUGUCGUUUGUACUUGAAUUGUGGUUGUGCCCCAUGAAAUCAUUUCUUGACAGAGGACCCCCAAAAGAUUUUCAACAAAAAAUAGAGCGCUGUGCUGCCAUCAUUGGCAAACACUGGCCCAACUAGAGCUAGUCCAUUGAGUCUACUGGUUUGGCUGCUCAGAGGCUGGUAAAUUAACCAAUAUUUAAAAAAAAAAAAAAAAAUCAGAUGUGCAACAUCCAAAUGGCAAGCUUAAUUAUUCUUAAAAGAAGGAGCCAGCAAGUCCGGAUCAUGUUGUAAUCCUGCGGUUGAAGUGAGAGCUUAAGAAACCUUUUCUUCUUCCACUAACAGGUUUCAGCUGUCGGGCAUGCAGCAAUGUUGGCAGCAAUCAAAAAGUAUAUGCCAUGUUUGGUAUGUCAUCUAAUCCGUUCGAUAAUAGAACCGUACUCUAUGGGUGUAUAUGUUUAUCAGCCAGCGCAUGCAUUUGUUCGUUUUCAUCAUCGUACUUACUGUAGAUUGUCGCUAUCAUUUGUCAGAUUCCUUCGCCUUAUACUUCUGAACGUCUUGGUUUGGUGAAACAAAUAAAGAGAAUAAAGAAGAUGGAAUUGCAACGAAGGAGCAGCAUCCAAGAUGCUUCCACUAGACUGGUUGUUUGACUAAUGUUCUCAUGAGAUGAGACCUGGCUUUUCAAUUUGCUCUGGAAGAAAAGUGCAGUGCAGUGCGGUUUUCCGGUCGGUAAAUCAGUUUUAUUGCGGCUGCAAAUAUGGUGGUGGACAAGCAGUGUAACCCGCAUCACCGAACAGACUGCAGUUUGCUCGCUUAGUCUUUUUAUUCUCGGCUUCUGUGUUUGCGCUUUUAAAAGAAAAUACUCCAUUGAGAAUCCACUAACAGUGAUUUGCCUAAUUGUACUCGUCGAAUUCCAACUUUUCUACUUUCUAGGUUUCAUGUAAAUAAGCUAUUUCAUCGCAUUUCAGCAUGUAGCUUCCUUCUACACAUCCCAAGUACUAAGAGGGAAUAUAUGCAACUUUCAAAUAUUUUUUCUUUGCAUUGUGAAAUAGGGUUAAAAAAACUUGGAGGUCACUAAUUUGUGUGGACUGUGGACUAAUGGACAUUCCCUCCGUUUUAAGAGUUUUUAUGGUUCCUUUGAGAGGGUCUCCGUAUCUUACUUUCCCGUUGGACCAUUUACUUUUAGAGUGGUUAUGGGUUUCUUUCCUGUUCAUAUAUCAAAUAGGGACUCACUUGAAAAAAUUUGUUAACCUCCUAGGCACCUUACAGUAAAUUUUCUGAACAUAUUUAGUGUUUUUUGGUAAUCAUUGGACUUCAAGUAAAACCACGGAAUCCCUAAUUGAUUGGCAGACGGUGGUUAGACUAAAAUAACUUUCAUUUGACAGGAGACUGUAAGAACCUAAUUCUCUUCCCACCAACUUCCACCUGCUGAUGUCUAAUUUCCCUCUAUGUAACUUCCCUUUAAGUGUCCACUCGUGGAAAAGGAAAACCACCCACCCAUGCAGCAUUCAAAAGGCUUUAUGUUAUCUUGCUUGAACUAUAUAAAUACCAACUGUAUGAAAUGUAACCAUCCUUGUACUACUAUUAUGGUUAUGGCCCAAAAAAAUAUGGUGUGUCAAAGAAUAAACAUAUACAUAUGAAAGGCAGAAAGAAUAUCUUUAUGCAACAGCGGCUAUAUCAUUCAUGUCGUCAGAUUCAUCUACAGCCAUCUCAUCUCUAAACAGGAGUUUAAUGUAGGGAAGAAUUCUUGGAAGUAAAGGUAAAUCAGCCAAGUUGACACUCAUCAUGUCGAAAGCAAUGCAGGUAUUAUGGAGGUGACUUUCAUCAAAAACUGGAAUCUUAGGGUAUCUUUGGCUAAAGUGUGUAAGGAUAACACGAUAUGCUCCUGCAGAAGCCCCAACUUCAACAGCUUCUUUUGUUGUGCUGUGAUUUCUUGCUAUAGCCUCCUCGAUCAGUCCAUCUUCAAAUGUAGCCUACAAUUAUGAACAAGAAACUGUUAACAUCUGUUCAAGUCCCACCUCAAGGCAUAAGAUAGUUGCUUGGAGAGAAUAAGUUAGGGUAACAAAGCAUCUAUGAAAUGCCUAUACAUACCUCAUGUACAAGAAUAGUUGCACUCUUCGAAGCUUUCACCAGUUCUGGACAAGGUCUAGUGUCACCAGAAUACACGAUCUUCCAGCCUGGUAUUGUUUUUCCAGCGCCAUUGGUUCUAUCUGCAGCCUUCAGCACAACACCAUAUGCCUGUGGACAGUGGAUUACAGGAAAACUUAUUAAUGCCUGUAAUCCCGCUUCCCUGAGCACCUUCAUUAAUUUCUUUAAAAGUGGAUAGACCAUAGCAUUUUCGGCUGGACUGCCAGGCCUCUUAAAAUAACUCUGCAUACGGCUUCCUUUUGCAAAUAGUGUGGAGUCGAUUUUUUGAUCCUCUGACCUGAUUCUAUCGGCAUCUUUUAUGUCCUGACAAUUUAUUGCAGCUUUUGAAGCUAGAUCAACUUCAUUUGAAUCAAGAGCUGCUAACGAAGAUUCUGAGGUAUGCUUACAGUCGAGGAAUUGCAUAUCUAGAUCCUCGAGUCUGUGGUAAGCAUCUAGAAAUCUCUUCAGCCGCCAAGGACCAACAACCAUCAAAGGCUCAUGAGGUACUCCCUUUAACAAGUCCCGUCUACGAGCAAGUAUUCUUGCAAGUCCUGUAUGGUGAUCUCCAUGAAUAUGAGAAAUCCAGAUACACCUUAAAUCUCUUAUGAUCUCAUCCGCUCUGUCAACACCAAACCUGUUUUGCAAACAGCAUACUAAAGUAUUACCUCCCAGAUGUUAAGAAGGCAAGAAAUCGAAAGGCAAAACACAGAAUGAAAACUAAUAAGAGUAGUUUACCUUCUUUUUAGUUGGCCAAGGGUUCCUUCACCACAGUCAAAAAGUAUACUUCCUUUAGAGAAAAGAUUAAGAAGAAUAGAACUGACAUUCCUAUACUUUGAAGGCUGAGAAGACCCAGUCCCAAGGAGAACAAUUUCUAAAUCUUCCCUUGUUACGCCUUCCAAGCAAGCUGGAAGUUCAUUAUUGUGCAACCAUGGCUCUUCAGUAGGAAGUUCCUUAGCUUGCUCAGACAUCCUCUCAUUUUUCCCAUUCUGAAGCCAAAGCUGGCUAACUUGUUUUGAUGCCUCUGUAAUUUCUGGAAUCCUUGAUACCAGCUCAUCAACAAUUUCUGAUUGUGAUGCUGAAUCAGGAAUCCCAGAUCUGUCCAAGCCAAGCUGAGUGAUUGGACGCAAAUAGAACUGUUCCAAAAUUAACACAGUCACCUCCUGCCAAACUUAUGGAAACAAAUACAAACUACUAAAAAAAAAAAUUUUGUUUUGCCAGUACACGAUGAUGUGUCUAUAGAUGGAACAUGCAAUGCAUCAAUAUAAAUAAAAAAUUUAAUGCAACACCUGUAUCCAUUUUGCAAUAGUUGGAGAUGCCAUUAACAAACAAUCGCUUAAUAUAGGCACCAUAAAUUAUACUAUUUCUUCUUAUCAGAACCCAAAGAAGAGAGUCAAUUCAACUCCACAAGACGUGUACAACCAUAAACUAGUACUCCUUUAAAGGACAGGGAAAGGGAUGAGCAUGAAAUAUAUGCAAAAUGAAUUUCUGGGUCCAUUUUAAUCUGGAGAAGCAAAUGUAUUACAUUCAAUAAAAUAGGACUGAUAGAAUGCAUCCUAUAAGUUGUUACUUAUCAGAACCCAUGUUUUAGCAUUCUCUUCCCUUUUUCUUCCUAGAGCUAAUGAGAAAGAUUAUUUAACACACCAGACACAGAUGGCAGGAGCUUUCCAAAGAGAUAGCUUAGUAGCCACAUUAUUAGCACCUUGGAAGAACUAUAAAUAAAGGAGCAGGGUUCCUAAUGAAAAAGAGACCAGUCAUAUGUAGCAUAGUCCCGGGAGAGCCACUUGAAAUCUACAAACAUACACACACAAUGUAUGUAACAUGUCUUGGUUUUAACAUCAUAAUUCAAUAACUAAAAGAAGCAAAGGAGGAAAUGUCAAUAUUCAUUCUUGCAGACCAUACCUUGAGGAGAUUCUGUGCUGGUAUGCUUUCACAAAGAUCUGAGAAAGGACCCUGUCAGCAAGGAAAAAAAAAUUGGCUUAAUUACCCAUAAAUCUUACCAAAUUUGAUAUCCUUAUCAAUCUCUGCGAUACAUAAUGCUACAACCAACCUCACUUGAAGCCCUCAAGUCUGAUGCUAUAUCUUUCAAGUGCUGGAGAGACCAGAUGCCAGGAGCAGGAAAGAACUGAGGGCAAAGGUAGUUAAGCUGUGCUGCAAUUCUUGCGCUUGAUUUUAUAAUUGGAACCUCAAUAUUCCUCCUGUGACCAAAAGGUAACGCAUCAACUCUCCAAUUAUCAGUGUAAAAAUAUGAUAGGCAUGUAUGUGCGUAUUGCAUGCACAGACAGAUAGAUUGGCACUUGGCAGACUUGUUAAAACAACAACCAGAACUCACAUUUCAUGUCCUGCCAUGAUAUGCUGGGCUUCAGGAAAUCUUGACAUCCACUUCUGAUACUCGAUUGUGUUUGUGACAUGAGAAGGACUAAGGUGAAUGACGCAAUUUACUGUUCUGGAACUAGAGUUACCAGAUAUUCCAGCAUAAUAGGACGAAAGAGAUUGUACAGAUGACACGUCUUUAAAAUGAGACAAAGUUGGGCAGUCCACGAGGAGUACAAUUGGACCAGGAAUAGAAGGACCCAGGACGUCACUAGGGUGAACCUGAAUUGUGCAUAUUAAAUUGCUUAUAAAUAUGACAGUCAGGAAGCAAACCAAAUGCUUAUAUAAAGUGUACUAUUAAAGUUACCAUAAUAUCUUGACGAUCUGACUUCACUGAGUUACCAAGCUGAAGUUCACGAUACUUUGGACCAGGUCUCAAUCCGAGAGCAGCAGCUUUCUUAGGGUCAAAUUUCCCCUUAAUUUCAGGCAAUUCACAGAUAUAAAUCACUGAAAGAUCACCAGGCUUUGUGGAUGGCUCAGCUCUGGGCUUUGAAAUUGAAGAUGAUAAUUGUUCCACUAAAUGUUCAUCUGCCUCCUGUGAUCCAGGCUUUUUUGUGGAGGAACCUUCUGCUGCCUGACUUGGUCUCAAGAUGAUAGCUGAUAGUUUCACAACUUCAUCGUCUAUAAGAACUACAGGAUCACUGAACACAUCCUUUGCAGGAGUCACAAGAGCACUGGAAUCAGAUGCAGGCCCAAAGCUACGUGUAUGAACCAUUGCAGCAUUUGGAAUGAAGGCUCUCAUUGCAUCUACUAAUAAUUUGAGAUCCGAGGGGCCCCACACAUUAACCUGAAAACAGAAAAGUGUCAUUGUCAUCAAAAUUCCUAUUUCCUAGAAAGCAAUGGAUGGCUAUUAUAGAAAAUCUGACACUUACAGACAUUCCUUCCUCACUUAUGCCUGCCAAAGUCAACAAAAGCCCUGCAAUGAAAAAUAAAACUUAACAAUUAUAGCCAUUAUUCUGGUUAGGCCUUUCUGCACAAGCAAAAUAAGAAUAAAUCCAUCUACCAACUUGUCAGCAACAAACCUGGAAGGCCACCAGCAGUUUCUGAGCAUACGCGUGAGAGAAAAAUGUGAUCAAUCUACAGGGAUUACAAACCAUUAAUAACAUUGCAAACUAAAAAAGAAAGAAAGUCUCAAUCAUUUUAAAAUCCAAAUAUAAUCACACACCUUUGACAACUUGAUUUUAUGUUCUGUACAGAAGCGUUGCAAUCCCUGGAACAAAAUUCCCAUAAUAAGGCUUUGAAAGUCCUCAUAGACAUUGAAUUAACCAGGUAACAAGUUAUAUUUUGCUUUUCUGUGUGUGUAAAGAAGAAUUCCUUAUGACCGUGUAAAGAAGAACUCCCAGUCGUGAAUAACUCCUCCAUUUUACACUUACAUGCCAAACAUGAGCAUGUAAAAUAAGGCCAAAGGCCGUUGACCAUUACCAGAACCAAAUAAAUAGGCCUAAGGAGAAUAAAUCCAUCACCAGUAAAUCAAUCUCUUCUAUUCAGAGGAGAUAUCUUCCUUUUCAUUUUCUCCCCUCUAGAACAAGCACCUAUUCUUUAGCUCAUAAGACAAAAUGGAACAACUUUGUUUACCCAUUCAUACAUCUAUUUGGCUAUUUUCUUAUUUGUUUCCCUUUCUCUCUUUAAGUCUCAUCCAGAUAUAGAAAACAACGAGAAGAAAAAAUCAAAUAAGCAUCUCCAGACAAUCUAGCAAAUAAAAAUGUGCAAUUUUAGAUAGCUUACAAAAAACUGCAUCAGAAACGUACCAAUCAUAUGUAGGAUUAGCAGCAGCAGCAGCAUGAGUAAUUGCAGUUACACCUUAAAAUCAAUAUCAAAUGGCCUAAUGUUCACAAACUACUCCACUGAACAGUUUAGAGAUAUAAGAAAAGCAUAACUCAGCAUAUGAGAUCAAAUCAACCCAUAAACUUUUCUUUAACCACAUAACCACCAGAAGAGUAUCUUGCGUUACAAGAAAAGCAAGAAAUGAGUGAAGCUCACCACCAGAUGCAUUAACAUGAGUACGUAAUAUGCAGAGAAAAAAUUAUUCUCCACUUCAUAAAGCCGUUGUAACUCUCAGCACCCAAAAAAAGAUAGAGCUUCUCCAAACUUCAAAACAUGCAAUUUGCUAUGUUCAAUGGAGACCACAGUCCAUCAUUAAGAAGUUAAAGAGAAUAGUAGGAGUAUCUUAAAGAGAUACUUACUUCUCCAGCAUUAAAAAUAAAUCUCUGCUUGUCAAAAAAUAGCAGGACAGAUGGUGAUGUAUCAUGCGUAUCCAUUCCAGUACCAAGAAUCUGCAACAUGAAUAAGAUCAAAAUCUCACUCCACUUAUGGUGCAUAAUAUUUCCAACUCAAGAAUUCACAUCCCACAGAAUAAUUUCCCUCAGAAAGCUACUGCAUUCAUGCAAACUUUAAAAAAAAAAAAUUUAAGAUAUAAGUAAUCCAAAAUGCGAAACCCAAAACCCACGAGAAGUUUUGCUUCCUUCUUUUCCGCAUGUAUACAGCCUCAUAAUUAUAUACCAGUCAUAUCAGAGAAACAAUUGUCGCAUUUCCUAUUGAAAUAAGCUGCAAACACUUCGCCCAAGUCAAAGAACCAUAAUGGAGGAAGCAAACAAAAAAAUUUAGGUUGCCUUCAAAUUAAGCCAAUGGUUCAAGCAUCGAACAGAAUUUGACUAAUGGAGGAGCUACAAAAUUCCCAAGUCAAAUUACCAAAAAUUAAAACGAAAAGGGAAAAAGAAAUGACCUGAACAUAACAAAUAGUAUUAAUAGGAUUCAGUUUUCGGACUUUAAGCUCAAGGGUCUUCCUGGGCAAAUCUUUCUUCUCCGAACCAUCAGCCCUUUUCUUAUUAUACACAAAAGUUGACUCAAGAGCGUUGUCAGCAGAACCAGCCUCUUUUUCCAAUUCCAUCGACAACCCACCUUUCUGGUUAUUAAAAUUAUUAUCCCUCCCUCUCGUAUUAGAAGUGCUGCUGUUUCUAUGCUGCUUAGUGCUGGAAAAGGGAGAACUUGAACUAUUCCUAUUGCUACUCCGGCGGGGUUUUCUGGAAUAAGAAGAAAAAGUAGUGAAGAAACGUAGAGUGUUGGGAAAAAUACGGCGCGGCAGCUGCAAAGAUUGGAUUUUGGGUUGGGAAAAAAGAGGAAAGGAGGAAGAAAGGAGGUUUGAAGAGGCGGGAAGGGUGGUGAUAUGGUGAUUGGCGGAGGAGAAUAGGAGGCGAAGGUUAGUUAAGUGGGGAGGCAUUGCCUUUCGUGUUGCUUGUAUUUGUAGCCUUUUAAUUCCCAGUUUCCCUCUGCCAUUCCCCAAAGGGUUUAAGGCUACUUCAGUCUCGUUUCACUUUCAGCAAAAACCCAUAACCCAUAACCACUUUCGUCAUCCCCGUUUAGCCCACCAAAGAGUCUGUGAUGGCGCCCGGGUCGGAUAUGGAAUUUUAUGCCACUUGAACUCCAAAAAAAAAGAAUAAUAAAUAAUAAAGUAAAAGAAUUUUAAUGGAAUUUUAUGUUGAUUGCAGAUUUUCUUUCCAAACAAUUGAAUAUAGUUACAUAAUUGAUAAGUUUAAAACUACUGUUGUUUUAAGUAACUUCUUUUCUCUUUUUGUUAAAUAAAAAACCAAACAUCAAUUAAUAAUAGGAUUUAAGUUCAACGUUGCAUUUGCCAAAACAAUGUUUUUGGUAAUUUAAUACCUUCUCAACGAAAAUGAGUAGGAUAUUAAGCACUAAUUUACAAUAUAUGAACUUUAGCAUUUGCAUUCUAGAGUCAAAAGAAUAUGUUUGACCUUCUAAUAUUGCUUCAAAGUUCAAACUAGUUACUAUUUGUAUGUUUUAAAAUUUUUUUAUAUGAAGGAAACUCAUUGCUAAAUUAUAAUUAAUUUAACACACCGCCUACACAAGAAGCUGGAGUAGCUCAGUCGGUUAGAGCGUGUGGCUGUUAACCACAAGGUCGAAGGUUCAACCCCUUCCUCUAGCGUAUUUCCCUUUUUUCCUACCCCCAACAGUACUGUGUCACGAUCAAACGCCUGCAAAAUCAGAUAAGAGGAAUAAGGGCCACAAGCAAAUUCCAAGAGGAGCAUCCUAACUAUCCAAUCCACUAUAUCCAUCUCAAUAGAAUAUAUCCCUUUUUUUUUUUAAAAAAAAAAAACUUCCCCUAAACGAAAGAUGGGAAUUCUGGAACUGAAUUCAGGUGCCCGCUUAGCAGCUUCUUUCUCAGUGUCGUCUCACAGCUUGAAGAGCAGUAACUUUUUUCCAGCUCCUACCAAUGCCAGAACUUGUGCAAGGUUCCAAGGCGCGGAUAAGCAGCACCUCAACUUGAACUUGUCCAAAGGAAAAAUCAGAGCUGUUGGGUCUUCUGCUCCAGAUAGCCAAUCAGCCGAGACCAGCACAACUUCACAUGAGCCUCCUGCAGUCAACUUUGCAUUCGUUAGCGUGAGUCACUUCACCUGUGGGACUUCACAGUUCAUAAUACCCCUUCUUCUUUUUUAAUCGAUCAUUUCUAAUUAGUGGCAGUAUACUAUAUUGUGAUUUUGUGGUUAGUCAGUUUUGCUUCCUGAUGGAACACCUGACGUGCAUUUUCGCAAAGCUUGCGGGGGCCAGAAACUCAGAGACAUAAUGCUUGAUUCUAAUGUUGAGUUGUAUGGACCAUAUGCAAGUCCCUUUCACUCUCCCUUUCUUUUUCUUUUUCUUUUUUUUUUUUAACUUUUAAUAGUAGAAGAGUAAAAUUGAGAAAGAUAAAACUAGAUUACAAUUAUUUUUCUUGCUUAAUGUUUCUCAUGAUGCUUAGCCAUAUUAGUUAUUUAUUUGUUGUUUUGGUUCUUUUGACGACAUAUAUAGGCAAGACCUUUGCUAAAUUGUGGUGGAGGAGGAACCUGUGGGACGUGCAUUGUGGAGGUGAAGAUGAUCAAUAUAUAAUUUCACUUUUUAGUUUUUCUUACGACUAGAGUUUAGUUAGUAAUUUGUGAUGUCAUUAAGCAUAUAGCGAAGAAGACUAUUUAGCUUGUUAACCUGUGGUCCUCUAUCAAAAGAAGAUCUGCAGCUAUAUCCAUGAAACCAAUCAGGUUUCUUUUUUAUUUCCCCCCUUUUGUUCAUGAGAAUUUUUUUUUUUUUAUGUGUAUUUUGUUCAGGUUGUUGAAGGGAGAGAGCUAUUAAGCCCUCGCACGGAGAAAGAGAAAGAAAAGCUCAAACGGGUUUCUUUUCUUUCCUUAACAAUCAUUACAAGUCCAAGAAGAGUAGGAUCUUUUCUUUUCUUUUUUUCAAAUGGAAGAAGAGUAGGAUUUUUUUUAAAAAAAAGUUUACAAAGAAGGAAUUGGGAUUAUUAGAAAUAGAGGAAUCAACAAGAUUGCCCUCCUAAUGUUAACUCCACUUAGCACUGAUGUGAUGCUGCAAAUUGCAGAAUCCAAGAAAUUGGAGACUUGCUUGUCAAACCACCGUUGGCAAACCAGAUUCGACGGGGCUGGUUCGUAAUCUCUCCCUCUCGGCUACUGUAUUAGACUUUUAUAUGUAUAUGUGUAUAUAUAUAUAUAUUAUAUAGUGCAUUGCAUCCGCUUCAAUGGCACCUCCACCCACCUGGAAGCUAGGCGCUAGCUACUACUGUAGGAGUAUUUGUUUUCUUUCUCACGUAAAUGCAUCAAUGCUUAUUUUAAGUCAAAGUACGUUUCAAAAAUGCAAUUUCUAAGCUAAGAAUUGAUAUGCUUAACACGAACCUCGAUGCUUUUAGUUAAAAAUCAUGCCAUGCCGAGUCUCUUCCUCGCCUCUUUCCCUGUCGGAGGGGAGUCCAUCUUAUGUUUUCUUUGGACAUAUUUUAACAAAUCUUCAUCAGUUCUCUUCUGUUGAUUUUUCUGGGUGAAUGCCCAACUCUUAUGUCAGGUAAAUGGGUCCUUCUACAUCAUAAUGGCACAAUUCAGAUACACGGAAGCCCGUCGAAUUUUGCCAGAUGAAAUUAGUUCAAUCUAAAAAGAACAAAAAGGAAAACAAAUCAACUUAUAAUCUUCAAAAUCGUGGCUCGUCAUCACAAAUAUUUUCAUUUUCUGAAUGAUUUAAAUGGAAGUCAGACAUCCAGUUUCUUGGUCGUCCCAUGAGAAUUAAAAACUUUUCAUUUUGCUCGUGCACUUGCUCUGCAGGUUGUGAUUCAGCAACUACCUGAAUGGAAAAUGCACGAAUGGAAUUAUGGGAAGCAGCCACCCCCAGAAGAUGCAUCUUGUUACUUCUUAUGAUUUUGCAAAUUAUAAUUGGUGUUUGUUAAGAAUUUCCCCUGGAUGAUCUGUAACACUACAUAUACUCUGGGUUGCAAAAUCUCCGACUUUACACAGAACAAAAAGGUGGCCCAAGCAGAUACGCAGAAGAACCGGCAAAAUAGUGAGAGUAAAUAAUCUCUAUAUAGGGAGCCUUGAUCCAAUUUCAUUUUACCCUCGUGUUUUUUUUUCCUUUUCCUUUUAUUGUGUUUCUUCCUAGCCUAGCAGGCUUCUGCUUCAUCAAAGCCAAUUGUGCCGCCUUAGCAUUGCUCAAUGCAGCCUGGCAGACUAAUUCUGUCAAUACAUUGGCUCUCCCUGCCCUUUUUUUUUUUUGUGUUUUUUUGGCUUUCCAUGCUUGUGUAGCAUGUCAAGACUUGCAUAAAAUAUUAUAAUACUUUAAUCUGUGGGUGAUGCAUAUUAAUAAUUUUAUCUUGAUUUUGGAAACACUACUUAGACCAAUAAAAUUCGGCUUAAGGAUUUGUAGCCGGAGGGCAAAUAGAAGGAAUUUGGCUUUAAGGAUUGGUAGCCAAAGGGCAAAUAGGAGGGCAAAUAUGUAGUAGUAAUUCUUAAUGUACAAAUUAGUACGAGUCCAUUAAGAAAAAAUCUGGAAAUUUUUCCAACGAGAAAGGAUGGCCGGAUGAGAUUGGUUCCUUUUCUUGCUUCUUUUUCUAUAGCAGCUAAAGGUAACAAUUCGUGUUAAACGAAGCAUUGAAGGGUGAAGGAUCAUGUCUAAACUGGACCUUAUUCAUAAGCACUAAUUGGGAGGAAACGCUCUAUCCAGAGAGAAAAAGAUUAUGAAACUGGUUGCGAAAGCAAAAUUUUUAUUGACUUUCAUAAUCACACUAUUGCAAAAAAUGCAUAACGAAUCUUCUAUCACGCUUUCUUUUUGUCACUCUUUGUUCCAUUUUUUAUUAUUUUACUAUUUCUUCUUCAUAAACAACAUAUUUUAGUUCAUUCUUGUUUUCCUAAGAUCCAAUAACCAUUCCCUGAUUUAAUAACGUAAUACAACAAUACAUUCAUACUUAAUUCCUGCUACUCAAUCCCAAUUGCAAUGGAUUUAUUCAAUCCAAGUUUUUGUUCAUUUGUUGAUAAAAUAUUGUAAAUGUUACAGUAGCAUAGCAUUUAUAUAUAAAUACGUGUGAAUAAGCAUUAAAAGUUUCAAAUUCCUUACAGCAGGAGGAAAUUUGAUCAUCAAGGCUGCUAGUGACAGUAGCGUAAGAAUGCGGUACACUUAUUCUCUUCAAUGUUUCUCUCUUUGAUUUUCUUCUGAUACAUUUUUGUGCUUUGCUUUCUGAGUCUUAAGAACAGCAAACCUAAUUUGAUAGCCUAAUACAAUAGGACAUUAUAUUUAAUUUCUGCAGCUCAAUUCCAAUUUCAAUUGAUCUAUUUAAUCUGUGUUUUUUGCUGUUUGUUGAUAAAAUAUUGUAGAUAUUACAGUAAUUAUGUUAGACAUGCAUACUUUUUGAUAGAUCCCAUCUUCUUCUUUUUUUUUUUUUUUUUUUUGUAGUUGAACGUGGAUCUUUUGAUGACCUUCUAGUCUAUUUUAUUGCUUUUUAUUGAACGAAACUUACCCAUUUGCGGAAUUAGGCGUGUAGGUGCUACAUAAUUGAUAUUCACCGACUUUAUCUGCAGGCUUCAAAGGUUGAAAUAUCAUCCUUUCGUUUCAAAAGAUAAGAAGACAACUCUUGGCAGAAAUGGAUUCAUAGCUACACACCAAGAAUGAAAAGCAAAGAAUAGCACAAAUUUGGCCAUACUUUUUUUUUUUUUUUUUGUAAUGGUUUUUUGUUGGGGAGAGAAAACCAACGGAAUAAUGACAAAUUGUCAUAAUUUAAACAACGCUAACAAGAGGAGCAUGGUCAUGCUGCAUGAACACAUAGCCAUAGAUGACACCGGCCAAGCCACCACCAAUGAGGGGUCCAACCCAGUAAAUCCAGUUGCCGCUGAAGUUACCGCUCGCCACGGCCGGUCCAAAGGAGCGAGCUGGGUUCAUUGAUCCACCGGAGAAUGGUCCGGCGGCCAAGAUGUUGGCACCGACAAUGAAACCGAUGGCAAUUGGGGCAAUGACACCCAGUGAACCCCUCUUUGGAUCAGCUGCCGUGGCAUAGACUGUGUAAACCAAAGCAAAGGUGGUGAUGAUUUCCAUCACAACUCCUUGAAGUGCUCCUACCCCGGCGGCAACACUGUGGAUUGGAAUAGCCUGACAAAAUUCACCACAAAAUUACAUUAGAAAAGGCAUCUAUAAUUUCGAAACACACUAAUUACGGACGUUAGAAAUGGAACUUACCAAGCCUCCAGUGACAACUUUGAGAAGGUAGGAAGCCACAAUUGCGCCCAAAAGUUGAGCAAUCCAGUAUAGGAGACCGGUGAGGAUGGUGAUUUGACCCCCCAGAGCCAAACCGAAAGUAACGGCGGGGUUGACGUGGCCGCCGGAGAUGUUGGCUGCAAUGGCGACUGCAACAAAGAGAGCAAAACCAUGGCAAACUGCGACUGCCACAAGCCCAGAAGGAUCAAGAGCCGCGUCUGAUGUCAGUUUGUCUGCCACAAAUCACAAUUUAUGUAAACAAGCUAGUCAAGAGAUUAUAAGCAAGCCAUAAAUGGCCUUAGUGACCAACUCAAAUCUGCAUGGGCAUGCAUGGGAUGAGGACUCCAUACUAGGUUUUUUGGGUCAUUGAGAUGCAUUGAAUGAUUGUAGGGAACAUUAAUAACACUAUCAGGUGUGUGCUAUUAUCGCUGCUAAAGAUCAAUGUUAUCUGUUAAAAAUGCAUUUCUCUUUUUCAUCUUUUUCUUGAACGUUAAAAUUGACUAGGCUUGUGUGAUAAUCUAGAAACUAGAAAGUAAAGGUACAUAAGGAAGCUUAUUUACUGUAGGCCAUGGCUGAACCAACUCCGGCGAAGACGAAAACCAAUGUGGAGAUGAAUUCAGCAAGAUAUGCCUUGAGAGACCCUACACUAAAUGAAUCAUCAAACCGUCCGAAAGCAAUUCCAGCCAUUCCUUUUUUUUUUUUUUUUUCCUUUUGCUUUUGGGGGGUGGUUGGGGAAGAAGGGGGAGGAAGAGGAAGAUAAGCCUGAGAGUUGAGAGCGGCGGAAGGCUGGAGCUAGAUGUAGGAAAUGGAUAGAAAGCUUUCAGAUGACAAAGCUACCUUUUCUGUCUCACGUACAAAUAUAUAUACUAAACACGUACAAAUAAAAUAAAGGUAUUUGGAUAGCAAAUUAUUCGUGAGUUUUGUUCCUGUAGCACAUGCCAUUUGCCAAAUUCUAAACCCAACCGAUAAUCAUUUAUGUAUGUAGUAAAGAUUAAGUAGUAGUAGUUGGAUUAUGUACUUGAUGAUAAUGUGACUGCUGGGUCAUCGAUAUUGGAUUGGGAUCCCGAGCUCCGGAUGACUGUUUUCCUCGUUAGAAGAUGAGAGGAAUAUGCUGUGUACAAUUAAUCCAUGCAUUUGCGAACAAGGGCUGUGUACAUACAUUUCUUGCAAUCCUCCUAGCUGUCCUUGACUAACAUGCCUUGGAUGCAAUUGUCAGGAAUGAUGCAUCCAUGUGAACCGACCAAUAGGAGAGGAGGCUAAUGGUGAAUGUCCCUUUUGGGGCCCCCCCCUUUCCCUCCCUUUGUGAUAAAAAAAAAAGGAACUAAGUCAAAUAAUGACACAGAGAGAAAAGGAAAGGAAGAAAGAAAGAAAGUGGUUUCCGGCAUGAGUUAACUUUGCGCCAAAAAGUGGACCGACCAUUACUUUUUGAAGAGGUAGGGAUGAUUGAUUGAGGAGGACUGAGUUGCUCAAAAAUGUGUGGAUGAGAAUGGAGUAGGAUUACUAAUUACUAUUUGCUAGCAUCUAAUUUUUGUUGCUUAAUUAUUGCAAUGCACACGUACGUACUUUCAAGGGGUACGUUUGAUCAAUGUAAUUGAUCAAUUCUAAGAUGGGAUUGGGAGGAAUCUUGUGAGGAGUUGUUGGCAUAUUUGGAGGUUUUGGCUCCAUCGUGGAAGAUAUUAAUUGUUGUACUAAAAAUGGGCUUAAUCAUUUACGUAUGUUGAUGCAUGGUUCAACAUGUCCAAUUGAAGAAUUGAAGCAUUUUGUUUUCGUUAGUGGAGGGAGGGAGGGUUCACAUGAUUCCUUUUGUCCUCUGGGACUGCAUCAGAAUGUUGUUAGUGACGACGUAUUGACAACUCCAAUUCAUCAAAUACUACUAUUCCACGUACGUUUAUUCACUUCACUACUAUAUAUUACUGUGGCCUUAUUCCAAAUUUGGUAGUAUCGAUCAAAUUGGAAAGUCUUGUGUCCUCAUAUGAUAUGAGAUGGUGGGGCUGGUAAUUAAAAUGAAUUAGCACUAAACUUCCAACUUAGUAGAAUGUGCACUUAAUAGGUAUGCCAUACAAAAUCUCUACAACUUGUAUCCAAUCGCGCUAUCAUUCAUCUGCGCACUCGCAAAAGGGAAUUGUCGACUUUUGCUUUUACACUUUCUGGCGCAUGAAUUGCCAUCGCCACAAGCUUUGUGAGUUAGUUCAACGGUACCACCCAAUGGCCGUGCUCUUCUUAUCAUCUCAGAAGGGCACCAAUACCACCUUUAAGCCUGAAUAAGGGCGUUCACGUAAAAGAACCUUAGACUUUCACACUUUUGGGCCUAGUGACUUUCACGGCUUUUGAAGGUUGUUCGGGGAUCUAGGUUUAUUUACACAAAAGUCUGAGUUUCUCAGCUUGGAAAAAGACUGCUAAGGCAAUAAAUAUGUAAUGGACAAAGAGUAAUCAUUAGUGUCCGUCCACAUUCUUUGAAAAUUGACAAACCCAUUUAAAAUGCCGGUCGUUUUCAAAGCGUCUCCUUGAAAACAAACUGAAAUCCCGUUUCUUUGAUACAAUCGGGCCAAGAUCCAUAUCGAGUGAUAUUUCUUAACAGAAAUCAAGUACUUGCAAAAAAAUGAUCUAGAUUCUUUUGGUUUCAUUAAAGAAUUUUCCAAUAAGCAAUGGAUAUUGGUGCAAGUAGAAGACAGGAAGAGGCUUGCAUCUCUUAUCGAUGAGAUCUCGGAUUCGAAACUCUUGGGAAUAGAAAAAAUAAUGUUGGGAGAGUUUUCCCUGCAAGGGGCCGAUCCUACUCGAAUAGAAUUAGUCGCAGAUCGUAAAACGGAUGCGAACACCUGUGGGUUAUACCUAAAAAAAAAAAAAAAAAAGAACUUUCCAAUAGGGGUCUAAUUUGAUACACACAUUACAAUUACAUUUAUUUUUUAAAUUAUAGAGUGCAUUUUUUUUUUUCAAAUUUAAGUUCACUUUUCCAGAAUGUUAGUACUUGCUCGUGACCUAUCUUUGCCCGUUACGCAAUCCCGUGACACUACUGAUCAGGUAGACCAAGCCAGCGUUCGUCUGCUUCUUAUGCUGCAAUUAGAACGGGACAUUGGCAUGUACCAACUCUAUUUCAUAUUUAUGGUCAGAGCUUGAUUAGAUUCUCAAGUUCUUAACCUAUCUGUUGAGUAUUUUUUGAACUUAUAUAGUUCCAAUGUAUAUAAACAGAAAUAGUGAAUAGUGAUGGACUGAUGGGAUGGAACCUUGUACUUGGCGAUCACGACCAAAACUCCAACCUAUCAACCCUACAGCGUAGAAAGCUUCUGGUUCUGGAGGGAGGCGUGGUGCAGCGGCUGAUACGUUAAAAUGAUAGAUAGGCAGCAUUAAAAGGGGUUGUUGGCUAUACCGCAACGUCGCAAUUAAGAGCUUAAUAGAGAGAGAGCCAGGAGAAAUUUAGGCAUUAUCCGACCACCAUCAAGUACUAAUUGGACGUUCUUUUCUUUUAUUCUUUCCUUUUGGAUCAGAAAAGUUCUUUUCUAUGUCAGGCGAGAACGGAAAACACAAAACUCUCAAGAAAGGAAUUUUUUGUCCAAUGAUCUUAAACAUGGGCAGAGCCAGAUAAGAAAAUCGAGGUUAAUGAAUCCCAAGUUUUUUCUACUUUCAGUUUUUGCAGCUAGAUUUUGAAGAAAUUUGUCUUUUAGGAUAUAUAUCAGAGGCAACUGCGAUUAGAAUUUAUUAGAGACCAAGAGACGACAGAAUUUCCAUAUUCAGGUACUUUGGGGUCAGUGAGGCCUUAGUUUGGUUACGCAACAGAAAGUGAUUAUCUGAUAUCCAGACUCGGGAUAAAAAUCCCAAUUGGCAAAAAUCUUAAUUUUAGUUCUUACUGGUGUAUGAGUUCUUGUUCAUAUGUAAGUUUACUGGCCGGAACUGAGACUUUUCAGCAAUGCCAAUAUGCUGAUUUCAUCACUGUUGAAAUGAACCUGGAAACUGGAAAUAUGACUCUAAAUUGAGGAAUGAAACAAAUUGCAUUUACAUUUGCAUGCAUGUAGUAAUUGCCAGCACCGAACUUCUGUCAAAUUCGGCAAGUGGAUAAAAUAAACCGCUGUUCAUGGGGGUGGGGUAACAGUUUUUUAAACCGAGAAGAUAGCAAUGCCAGUAGUUAUUUAUGGACCAGCUACUUAAUUUACUGGAACAUGGCUCUUGCCUCUUGGCUUGGGUAGAAAUAGACACUGUGCCCAUUGCCUUGCUGAGAAUGUAUUGAUGUUAUGUGCGCCCACGUAUUCAACAACUGUUCUCCCUCAUCGUUUCACGAAUUGAUUCAUGACGCGAGAGCUUUGUCAAUUUAAUUUUAGAGUUUAGUCAUUCACCAACGGGUAUUUACUAUCACUAUUGUGUUCGUUGAAACUUGAAAACAAACAGUACAACACCAGUGCCAACUUAAUCAAGUAGAAAUUAUAGCAAGAGGUCCAACAAAAACGGGGACUCCUACCACACAGGAUCCUCAGUACUAUUUUUUCUGUGACAAUUCAGUGUGAUUUCUAUAUUUAUGUCAAAUGUCCUGUUCAUUUAAUUUAUCAAGUGUUGUUUAUUUAAAUUUCUUCUACCAUCACGUGAUAAGUGGAAUUGGCAUUGGAUUUGACACCGAAUAGUGACACAGAGAGGAUCCCAACUGAUCUCCUACCCGCCCUUGUGCAUUAUGAUAAGCAGUAAGCUACUCCAAUCCAAUACCUUACCUGGCAGUUCUAUAGUAUUAACUAUUAACGCCACCUGGUCCAGAGUUCAAAGUGUUUCACUUGAGCGAUCAAUAUAGCAAAUUCAUGCGUUCAAGUUGAUUACCUCACUGAAUCAGAUUAUUCCUUCUACUCUUAACCAGUGCCACUUUGAGCCCCAACUCAUCUGCAUGCUAUGGAAUUCAGUGGGGAAAGAACUCUUUGGAGUUUUGUGGAUGAGGAGAAAAAGAACAUAAACUUGCCAAGGAGACUUUCAUUUGGAAACCAGGAGCUUGAUUCUCAUUUGGCUUCCGCAAGAACAUCUUGUGCUUCUGCCGCAUCUUUCCCACUCUGGCCGAUGAGCCCUGAGACCCCGUGGACCAGAUCUCCGUUGCAUGCAUCCGCAUCCCCAAACUCAUCUCUUCUCUACCAUUGUAUAGCCUCUCUCCAUCGCAGUGAAGGUAAAAUCUUCUCCAUAGCCGCAUCAAAAGACUUUGUCUUCACUGCGUCAGACAGCAGAAGGAUCCAUGCAUGGAAACUUCCAGAUUGCACGGAGAUGGGAUACAUCAAGGCUAAAGCUGGGGGAAUUCGAACCAUCUUGGCUCAUGGGAAGCUGCUCUUCACUGCGCACGGGGACCACAAAAUCCGGGUUUGGGACAUGCCACCAACAGAAAACUUUCAACACAAGAAAAUCACCACCUUGCCAAGAAGAUCUUUCCUGGUGUAUGCUAAAAUGAAUAUCCAUAAAGACUCUAUAUCAUGUAUGGCUUACAACCACAUGGAAAACCUUCUGUACACAGGUUCCUGGGACAAGACAGUUAAGGUGUGGAAAAUCAGAGAAAAGCAAUGCCUCGAUUCGUUCGAGGCUCACGAAGGUAAUGUGACUGCAAUUGUGAUAAACCAAGAAGACGGCUGUGUUUUCACGGGUUCUUCAGAUGGAACGGUGAAAAUAUGGCGAAGGGUUUACCGUGAAAGCUCCCACAUUCUCACAAUGACCCUAAAGUUUCAACCAUCACCGAUAAAUGCCUUGGCUUUGAGCUCGUCACCUGGCGGUUGCUUCCUCUAUUCUGGCUCGUCGGAUGGGCUCAUAAACUAUUGGCAGAAGGAGAGAAUGUCCGGGAGGUUCAAUCAUAAAGGAUUUUUACAGGGUCACCAUUUUGCAGUUCUUUGUUUAGUGUCGAUUGGGGGCUUGAUCUUGAGCGGUUCUGAGGAUGCCACCAUAAGGAUAUGGAGAAGAGAGGACGGAGAUUCCUUCCAUUCAUGUCUUGCGGUCAUUGAUGGCCACCAUGGGCCAGUGAAAUGCUUAGCGGCUUCACUAGAAACCGCUGAUGUAUUGAUUCGACUGUUAGUUUACAGUGCUAGCUUGGACCAAACUUUUAAGGUAUGGCGAGUUAAAGUAUAUCCAGCUGAGAAUGUGAACUUGGAAAAGUCAGAAGCAAAGCAUAGCCAAGUAGAAAUGGAGUGUCAAAUGAGUCCAGUACUAUCUCCUUCAUGGGUGGAGAGGAAAAUGCAGGGAAGCCACUUUGAAUAGGAUAAUGAUAAAAUACAUGAACUUUACAUGCAUGUUUAUCUGAUAAUCCUGUUAAGAAUUUAGGUUAUUGUAGAUGACAGCAGUGUACGUAGUGUCCGAUAAGAUCUAGUUUCAAGUAGAAAUAGAACUGCAAAAUAUUGAGUUUAUACUUGAUUCGUUUCAUAUCUUUUCUUAGUUCUGUGUGAGAAUCUAGCUCCAUUUAUGCAGGCAGAUUAUGGUGCCAUUUCAGUUAACCAAAUACUGAGUAUUUCUUUCUGCCUGCCCUGAAUUUAAGAAUUUAAGGUUGUGACUUGUGAGUGCGAGUUAAGCGUUCUCUGACAUCUUUUACAUCUGUUUGUAGCUUUAUGUUUCCUGCUCAACAGUACGGAUUUCGUGAGGAUGAAGCCUCUACAUCUUAUAACUGUUCGAAGAUGUACUUUGCCUGUGCUAACCUGUCAAAUUGUGAUUUGCAAUCUAAAUAGAGAGGUAGGAAUCGAACCCGACCACUAGGAAGGACCUCAAAUCGCUCGGCAUCCCUACGGGGCGGGGGAUGGCCGCUAGGGGUGGCAACGGGACGGGGUUGGGGCGGACUCCCCCAUCCUCCGCCCCGCUGCCUACAAACUCCCCCCGCCCUCGCCCCGUCCCGCGCCACCCACUCCCCCCGCCCCGCCUCGCUACCCCCGCGGGGUUAAUAAAAUUUUAUUAUAAUUCAAUUUUAAUAAAUAAUCAAGUACUAAAAUAUCAACACAUCAUCAAGUAAUUAUUCAUUUUAAUUUUACAAUUGAAACUCAUAAAAACAAUCAAACAAAAGUUAUUUGAAUACAAUCCAACAUGAUGAAAUAAAUACAACUAAAAUAGUUAAGUUUUUACUUUUGGUACAAAUACAAUCACUAAUUCAUUAUUGUGUUUGUGCUUUUUUUUUUGAGAAAAAAGUGUUAUUCUAUUAAGUGUAAUUAGAAAUUUAGUAUAAAUGUAUUAGUAAAUUUAGUAUAACUAAUUAAUAAAUUCUAUUAGUAGACAUGUCUAAUUAUUCAUAUAAUUGAUAAUAUCAAUUAUAUUACAUGCACUAAUAUACAUUAUAUAAUACAUCUAACUAAUAAUAUCAUUAUCAUAAGUUUAUAACUAAUUAAAUUACAUAUUAUAUAUAAUUAUAUUUUUUUUUUUUGCGGGUGGCGGGGCGGGGGAGUACCGGGAAAAAAUUCUCCCCCGCCCCGAGAGCCCCCCCGCGGGCAACCGCCCCCGUUGCCAUCCCUACGCUCGGCCCACCAUCCUUCCGUUCCGUGGGUGAAUCCUCCGCUAAGGGGCCAUACCAACUUGUACGGCAUACAUAGAAAUUCAUAACUCAGGGCAAAUCACACCACCAUCUAAGUCACCCCAUUUUGCAACCGAAUUUGUCCAAACACAUCAAAUGGUCCCCAUCAACCCAGUCUACCAAAUAGUACUAAUUUUUCAAUCAAAUUUACGAGAUGUUGGGUUUUCUUCAUUCAAUUAAUGACAGCUAACCACCUCAUUUUACUGAUGGGAAGUGAAGGGUCCUCUAGAUCGGUAAUCUAGUUGCAGAACCUAAUAAAAUUUAAGCUAACAAAAUGAUAGAUCGAAUCACCAACAGGACAAUAACUGCACGAUGAUCUGCUCCCGAAUCCUGCAUUAGAAACUUGGACGAAGCAAAUUCUUCCAAACACGAAAGUGUUACCCAAUCCCCUCGACACGAGUUCCAACAAUUUUUUAUUUGUAUAUUAGCUCAAGGGGAUGAUGGAAGACAUUGUGGAUAAACUAAUAGUCGAUUACAAAACACGCGAUUAUUAGAUUUGGCAUACUAGAAUAGUCAAUUACAAGACGUGUGAUUAUUUGAUUUGUUGUGUAUGUCACGUUAAAGAGAAAAGAACCUCAGUAGUCAUACAAGUUCCAGCAAAAAAUCAAACCGCAUAAAAUUUCUUUCCUACACAUAUUGAAGAUUGUGCGUCACGUCUUGGGUAAAGGAGUAUGAAGACAACCAGGUGAAGAGAAAAUACUAAAAAAACACUUAAACAGCUAAAGAGGGCACAAUGUUUCUUUAGAUGCAGGCGGGCAAUCUAAUCUAAUUGCGUAUCUUCGGGAAAGGGAAUAGAAGUGCAGCAAUGGUAAUAACCAUUUUCAUCAAACCGAAACCUUUCAGAAAGAUGGGCUUCACGGAUGACAUACACUCCCCAAUCCUCAGAUCCGUAUUGAUC
This 54061-nucleotide long non-coding RNA is filed under the name Coffea arabica (coffee). Its description in RNAcentral is "long non-coding RNA (CARA_LNC003037)". The stretch from base 41042 to 41115 matches the Rfam family "tRNA". Lineage: Eukaryota; Viridiplantae; Streptophyta; Magnoliopsida; Gentianales; Rubiaceae. The record is from RNAcentral.